This 76877-nucleotide long non-coding RNA is filed under the name Triticum aestivum (bread wheat). RNAcentral's name for it is "long non-coding RNA (TAES_LNC025735)". The record is from RNAcentral. Lineage: Eukaryota; Viridiplantae; Streptophyta; Magnoliopsida; Poales; Poaceae.
GCUUCCCUCGUGAGGUUGGCAAGGUCUGAUGCCCUCCAGAAGAGAGCCCCCGAGCCCUGCCUGAGGAGGGCGCCGAGCGCGCCUUCCUAUGCGAUGGAGGGAGGCGCCCCUGGAGCGAGCGCUAGUCCUGACGAGGCUCCUGCCACGACACCAUCCUCCUGAGGUCCUGCACGGCGCGGCUGUUCUUCUUGGGAUGGCCUCCAGAGGGCCUUCAUUUCUGCUGUCGGGGUCGUCGAUUGCUGUGCUUGAAAGGCGCGCUCGAGGGAGCACACCGCAUCCCUCUCUUCACACGGGACCGUGAUGAUUCCUCCGCUUCCUGGCAUCUUGAGAACGUUGUAGCCGUGAUGAGUGACUGCCAUGAACUUGGCCAGGGUUGGAUACCCGAAGAUGGCAUUGUACGACAGGCGGAUGUGUGUGACGUUGAAGUCGAUGAGCUUGGUGCGGUAGUUCUUGCGCUCCCCGAAGGUGACGGGCAAGUGGACCUGCCCUAUCGGUGUGGUGGAGCCGUCGGUCACUCCUAAGAAAGGCUUGGUGGGCUGGAGCUAUACAUAAGGCACUUGGAGGUUGUCGAACGUGUCAACGGACAGGACGUUGAGCCCUAUGCCAUCGUCGAUGAGGGUCUUGGUGACCUGCACAUUGCUGAUGACUGGGGAACACAACAUAGGGAAGCGGAAGCAUGAGAGAUGUCCCGCCUCGCUACGAGAGCAGCUGACAUGUCCCGCUGCACGGAAGUAGCAGCACAAAGGUCCCGCCGCGCCACUGAAGCAGCACGGAGGUCUCGCCGCGCCGUUGAUGCAGCAGACUGGUCCGGCCGCGCCGCAAAAGCAGCAGAGAUGUCCCGCGUGCCACGAAUGCAGCAGAGAUGUCACGCCGCGCCGUGGCGGCCUGGGAAAAUUUCUCGCGAGCAGGCGAGGACUGUUACAGGCGCAUGCAUGCGAUCGUCCAUAGCCAGAUGGAUCAGAUCUCCGGCUCGGCAAGGUUGCAAGACGACAUGAUAGCCUUGUUUGAACAUGCUACCGGUGUCAUCCAACAACUAAGGGAGGGCAAUGAGAGGCUCCGGGCCGAGCGCGACCUGCUGGGGGAGAAGAUCGUCCGAAGUGCAGACCAGCAGGAGGAAACCAGUGCCUUAUUGAAGAAACUUAUGGAUGAGAAUGACAUGCUCCAGAACGAGCGCCAAAGGCUGGUGGAGGAAUCCGUGGAUGUUCUCAAGCAGCGUCUUGAGGACACGAAAGAGCUCAUCGCCGCUCGCUGCGGAGACUAGUUUCCUGGUUUCUUUUGAUGUAAUAAUCGGUUUAGGAUGUGGAUUGUGUCGUCGGUUGUGAAAUGUUGGGUUCUGGCGCGGAUGUUUGGCCUUUGUUGGCCUCUUGGGAUGUUACGAUUUCAAUCUGGUAGCUUUUAGUCCUUCGUGUUAGGCUGGAGUUGUGCUGAACUUCUUGUGAAUUGUGGUGGUUUUCAGUAAUGAAAAUUGGAAGGGGCAAGCCCUUCUUUGAUCAAAAAAAAAUUAAUCGUCCUUAUAUAUUCAUCAGUCUUGCUAUAAGUCGCAGUAGAUGCUAUAUAGGUCCGUCGGAUCUUACAUCAAGAUCCGUGGUUUCAGAUUUUCUUUUUUCUCUCUUAAAUCUCAGUCGGGUGAGACAUAGCCAUGCCAUUAAACAGAGGCUCGGGCGCCAUUAAUGGAGACCUUGGGAGAGAGGUGGACGACAGAUGGAGGUCAAAGGGCUCUCCUCCCGAUAAGCACGUGCAGGGGUCUCAUCGCAUGCCUCUCGUACUCAAAUAGCUACCCUGCACGGCGCCUCCUAGCUAAUAAAAAAUGGGGACGCGUGGCGGCACGUAAAUGGUACUAGUAAGUAGAAUGCCCACGGUUUCAAUAAUACUUGUGUUUCCGAUUGUAACGUGACAACACUUGUUCCAAAAUGACUUUGUUGAUUGUUAAUGUGUGCGCCUUCGCAAAUCGGACUGCAAAUUUACCACAGCAUGUUGGUGCCAUGUCAUGGUACCAAGCCAAGUUUCAUUAUUUUCAUGCAUGUUUUGGAUUUAUAGGAAUUAAAAAACUAAGUUUCUCAAUGUUUCCAACCCAGCCAAGACGCCCAAAAUUUUGAAUUUCAUUUCCAUUUCUUGCAUGGAACCUAGAAAUUUACCCGAGGACACACAUGUAAUUUUUCAACCAACUUUGGUGCACUGGAACAUGUGCUUGUAUUUCAAAUUUGAAUUAUGCACACAAAGGUGACACGCUCCCUCCUAGAACCACGAGCCUUCUUGAGAGAAGCUCCGAUUUGCAAGAAGCUUAUAACAAAAUUUAUUCCUAUUCGGCCAAUUUUUUUACCAUGGAAUGGUACUACCAUGACAUGACACCAUGCCAAGUUUAAUGAUCUUAAAACCAAGUUUCUCAAUGUUCUCGACCGAGACACGAUGCCGAGAUGUUUGAAUUUUAUUCUCAUUUUUUGCAUGGGACCUACUCCCUCCUUCCAUCUAUAUAGGGUCUAAUGUGUUUUUCAAGACAGCCUUUGACUAUUGACAGGAUUAAUAGCACAUGAGAUGUAUACUAUGAAAAUUAUAUUAUUGGAAGCUCCUUUGACAUACAAAAUUGAAGGUAUGCUUUGUGUAAAUUGCAAGUCAUAUAUUAUUGCUCUAACGUUUGGUCAAAGUUAGCCUCGAAAAACGCAUUAGGACCUAUAUAGAUGGAAGGAGGGAGUAGAAAUUCACCCGAGGACACAAAUGUGAUUUUUCAACCAACUUUGGUGCACGGGAGCAUGUGCUUGUACUUCAAAUUUGAAUUAUGCACAUUAAGUGACCAAAAACUCAAUUAAUGUGUAAAUAAGGCCAAACGAAGCCGGAAUAAUUCCAAAAUUUAACAGGGCACUCAUGUAGUUCUAUGUUUCCUUUGUAAAUAAACUCAAGGGGGACAACGUAUAUCGUUUCGCACUCAAAGGUGGCACGUUCCCUCUCAGAACCACGAGCCUUCUUGAGAGAAGCUUCGGUUUGCCAAAUCUUAUACCAAAAUCUGUUCCUAUUCAGCCAAUUUUUUUACCACAACAUGGUAGUACCAUGACAUGACAUCCAUGCCAAGUUUCAUGAUUUUCAGACGUGUUUUGGAUUUACAAGAAUUUCAAAAUCAAGUUUCUCAAUGUUCUUGGCCGAGCCACGAUGCCCAGUUGUUUUAAUUUUAUUCUCAUUUCUUGCAUGGGACCUAGAAAUUCAACCGAGGACACAAAUGUGAUUUUUCAACCAACUUUCGUGCACGAGAGCAUGUGCUUGUAGUUCAAAUUUGACUUAUGCACAUUAAAUGACCAGAAACUUAAUUAAUGCAUAAAAACGACAAACAAACCCGGAAUAAUUAAAGAAUUUAACAGGGCACUAAUGUAGUUCUGUCGGAUUUCAGGUUCCGGCAGACCCUUGAGGUUCGAAUACUAGGGUGCGCACGGAGAUUUCUCCUUCUACCUACCUGCGCCCCUCCGCCUCGCUAAGAUCUAAGCUAUGGAAAGAAUAGCACAAGAGACACAGGGUUUAUACUAGUUCGGGCCACUGUUCUGGUGUAAUACCCUACUCCAGUGUGUGGUGUGGUGGAUUGCCUCUUGGGCUGAUGGUGAUGAGCAAUAAAGGAAGAACAGCCUCGCGAGGGUCUGUUCUUGGCUGAGGGGAUGAACUGCUAGGAGGAGUUCAGUCAACCUUCUCUCUCUCUUCUCGAUUCCCUCUCCGAUCUCGAUUUCCAUCCAUCUACCCUAUGGGUGGCUAGUCCUAUUUAUAGGCAAAGGCCCUAGGCCUCUUCCCAAAUAUUGAGCGGGAAGGGCGCCAACAAUUGGCCAUUUUGAAGGGGAACAUCUGGUACACUUAUCCUGACUAAAGUUGGUCCUCGCCUGCCAAAGGCUCUGGUGGUGACGCUGGCUUGGGCUCCACAAUGACUUCCUCCCUGGCGUUGGACUGGUCUUGGUCUCGUUGCACCGAAACGGAUGCCUUUGCCUGAUGCUCUCGCCUGUGCUUGCUCCCUUUGCACCAAAGGGGAAAGGAGGGCACUGCGCGGGCUGGCGCCCGCCUGGCUCCGUUGGUCGUCAUGGCUUGCAUCACGGGCACCUCGUGAGGUACCCCGCCUUGAUCUCUCUGCCUCCUCGCGAGCCAGCUUGAUGAGGCCGUGCCUGAGGAAGCUCCGUGUCGUCCGCCCCGCGAGGCUUGGCCCCUCGCGAUGGUCUUGGGUCUGUGUUGAUGAAGAUGGGCCGUGCUGGGCCCCCCUUUGAGCCACGCCGCAGGCCGCAGGCAGGCAAGUCUGGGGACCCCCGUUCCCAGAACGCCGACAGUAGCCCCCGGGCCCAAGGCGUGCCCAGACUUGGCCGUGCAGGGAGGCGAAAGGGCAAGGGUGAAGCGCCACGGGCCCUAACAGCCUGCGGCCUUGGGCGCCGCGUGGCGGUUGAUUAGGCGUGGGCGGCACUGUUCCCCCACGCCCCCCUUAUUUUGCGCCAUGCUAGGCGGACUCGUAGUCGUACAUAGCCGCUCCCCUUUCUGUUGCUCGAGCGCCCUCUGUCCUUCCUCCGCUCGAACUCCAGCUUCUGUUUUCAACCCAAUCUCAAACCUCCCCCACCCCUUCCCAUCACCAAGGCUCCGACAAAGAAGGGAAGAGGGAAGAAACCCAUGCCUCCGCCUUGCUUGCCGCCGUUGGUGGCCCCCGCCGAGGGCUUGGGCAAGGUUAGCUCAGCUCUGGCCACUAUCUUCAACGAAUGCAGGAGGACAACGGCCUGGCCCGCGUCUCACUUCUCCAUCGACAGGAUAGUCACCGAGGUCCAGUAUUUCGCCGACGCCCUGUGGGCGGGUCUGGUUCCCCCCUUUUCUGAUUUCUUCAAUGCCGUGCUUUCCCACUAUCAGAUCCACAUGAUGCAUCUGGGUCCUGAAUCCAUCACCCUUCUUUUGGUCUUCGCCUUUGUUUGCGAGGCAAUGAUGGGCAUCCUUCCUUCGGUUGCCUUGCUGCGCCACUUCUUCUCUCUGCGUCUUGUUGACCCUACCCAAUGCUCGGCGUGCGUGAGCUUCGCUGCCACGUCUGAGACAGCGGCCUCAGGGAUUGACUUCAUGCUCCCUCCGCUUGCGGCUGGGUUCCGCGAGCGGUGGCUGUAUGUGGAUGUAGGGGUGCCCAGCCCCCUGCUAUCGGAGCCAACUUCGCCUACUGUCCCCAAUUUGGGCUGGGGCCAGGAGACGCUUGAGAGCCCCCGGCUCGUCUUCGUCUGGCACCGCUCCAUGUUCUUGAGGUCGCUUGGCGUGACAGCGCCCAAGGUGGUGAAGGAGUUCCUACUUCGCCGCAUUGCUCCUCUCCAAUGCCAUUCCCGCCGGAUGUGGGCCUUCAGCGGGCGUGAUGAUCGUAUGAGGCUCCAGGAAGAGGACCUGAUGCCUGAAGUGCUGAGGACAAUGCUCUUGAUCCUGACUAGGGACCCCAACCCUGGCAGCAUCCAGCAGGGAGGGGCCUUGCUGUACCUCUGCCAGAACAGGGACGAUUUUGUGAAUCAGAUGCCUAUCUUUCAUGAGUGGGGGCCGCGCCCCGCCGGCCUCCAGGGGCCUCGCGAGAACCCAGUGAUGGUGAUUGCCCUUGCAGUCGGCCAAGGCGACUCUUCCUCAAGUGGCGGAGCAGGGAGGCAUGAGGCGCCAGAGGCCGAGGGGGCUCCCGGCGGGGCGACAGCGCCGGGCGACGCUCAUGAGGGAGCAGCUCUUGGGGCCCAUGCCGCUGAGGCUGAGGGUGGCAAGCAGCUGCCCUCAGCGCCUGCGAACGAGGCCCCUGAGGCUCCAGUCGCUUCUCUUGGCGAGGCAAUUGGCAGCGCACAUCAGGCAGGCGCCCCUGACGCGGAUCGCCUUGAUGCUCCGUCUUCGUCGCAGGUUGAUCCCUACGCUCAACUCUUGGGCCGCUUCCGCGUGGACUUUGAGCCCCUCCCGAAGAGAAGGGAGGACCUGGGCCACGAUUACCCUUGUCGCCUGCUGAAGCAUAGGAAGUACUUCGCCACUGAUGAGUAAGCCUUCUCCUUUCCUAGCUCCCGAUCCUUCUGUUGCUUUUACUGAUCCUUGCUCCGCAGGCCCCUUCCAGCCGAGCUCGCGGAGAUGGCUGAGGUACCGCCCCCCUUGGCUUCGCCCCCUCCACCAUCCUCAAGCGCUCCAAGCAGCAGAGCCCUUGUGGUGAGGGCGAUCGUAGAGGCGAACCGUCCCGAGGCGCAUCGUGGCCCUGCGCACCUCGCGAUCCUCCUUCGCGGGCCUUCUCAUGGCAUAGCCAGCCUGCCGUGGGCUUCUCGCCUGGUCGUGGACUGCGAUUGGCUGAGGCGCUCCCUGCGCUCUUCAUCUGGGGACGGGCUGGCUCCAGGCCGGGCUUCUGGCGUGGCGUGCCCGGCCAUCGCGAGGGUGCCAGCCCCCAGCCCCCUGCCCGGAGGGGGAGUGCUGAUUCGUGGCCCCCGACGCUUGCUUGCGGCAGAUGAUGGUGUGGAAGAUGUGCUCGAGUGCGCCUGGGAGCGUCGCGCUCUUCGCCAAGGAUUCCUUCGAAGGGCGGCUGACGCGGUGAGCCUGCUUGGUGGGGAGCUUGCUGAUGGAGACGCGCGCCUCGAGGCCGAGGGCCUGCGCCUAGCUGCAAAGAGGCGCGAGCUGGAGGGCGCCAUCGCCCUUGCGCACCGUCAGCGCGAUCUUGACGAUGCAGAGGCCAAGGCAUCACUGGUGGCCUCUCGGGAGGCCCGAUCUAGGGCCGCUGAGGAGGCCCGGGAAGCUGACCGGUGGCGAGAGGCGGCAGAGGAGCGGGCUCGGGAGCUCCUGGCCUGGUGCCACUCACUGGAGGAGCAUGUGGAGCUGCGCGAGGCAGCCCUCGCAAUGAUGAAGGUGGCCUGUGGCGACCCAGCAGAGCUCCAGAAGCGUGAGGAGGUGCAGACGCUGGAAGCCGCCGAACGUACCCGCGAGUACGAGCGUCUGGAGACGAGGGAGCGCUUGGUGAUGUAGGCAGAGGAUGAUGUCGCUGCACGGGAAGCCCGUGUCCUGGAGGAGGUCGGACGUUGGGUGGCGAUGGCGCGCUUGACCUCGAGCACGAGUUCGAGGAGAGGCUGGGGUUGAUCCGGGCCGAGGCUGAAGGUAGGACUGCUACCUUGAGGGCCAAGCUGGAGGAAGCGACGCGGCGGGCCGAUGCUUCUCGGGCCGCCCUUGAGGUAGCGCAAGGGGAGUGAACCACCUCCGAGGCCGAGGUGCUCCUUCUUCGCCAGCGGAUGGAGGAGGCUAAGGUCGUCAAGCGCCAGAAUGCGGACGAGAUACGUCAGCGGCGGAUCUUGGAGCAUGAGCAUGGCCCCAUGCUCACCACGCUCCGGGAGAGAGCCAACACAGCCUUGGGCAACAUCUGUGAGGCGGCUGUUGGCGAGCCGCAUGCAGUCAACUACGCUGGCAACCUUCAGUUCUUCACCGACGUGGUGACGCAGCUAGAUGCGCGGUCGGUUAGGGCUGACAGGUUGGUGGAGGAGACGAGCCGCGCCCUGCUCGGGUGCACCUUUUCUGGCGUCUUCAGCCAUCUCCGGAACAUGGAUCCCCACUUCGAUUUCGACGCCGCCAUCGCCCCAGUCCCCCAGGCCAUCCGAGACGACCUGGCGCACUGGGUGGAAGACAAUGUGGAUGCUCUUGUCAGGGCCUUUGCUUCAGAAAACAACGGCGUGAUCGUGGCUGCCGACGAGGGCGGUGUGGUGAACGGCCCUGCCGCCGCUGGCGGCGACGCAGGCAGCGAUGGCGAGUCCAGCGAUGCCAGCAACGGUUCGGGUGGUGCUCCUGAGGACGCAUUGGGGGAUUUAUCCGACUGAUUGUGCAUCGUUCCUGCUUCCUUACCCUGCAUGAAUAGAACUCAGGUUUUGGCCUAAUGGCUGUGAGAGCAUUUUAGAGGGGGAGCCCCUCAUGUAAAACUUGUGUUCAUCGUAUUAGUAGACGCUACAUUGCCCAUGCGCCGCGCCAAGUGGUUGGCUUAAGCGACGCACUGGUCGGCUAGUUUACCUUUGUCCCGUGCGGGCCCUGAGGUAGCCUGUGGGAGGCUGUGGUGUCCCGAGUGUUCCUUGAUUGAAUCCAUAGGAUCUGCAGUAAAAAAACCUCCUGAGAGGAUGCGGCGGCGGUAGUCUGGGCUGCGUGCAAGCCGGGCCUGACCCGGCUCGCGAGGGGCUCACGAGGGGAGGCAGCUGAGGCGAAGUGGUAAUCAAAACGCGAGAAAUUGCUCGAACGAUACUAAGAACCCCUUCCCCGAACACACGCAAAUCUCAAAUUCGAAUCCAACUUAAAUCCAGCGGGGGAAAGUGACAACCAAAAGGGAAAAGCAAUGAAAACAGACAAAAGGCCGCGUCCGGCACCUAAUCUAGUCUUGGACGUCUUCUCACCAGCACGGAGCUAAGUGCUGCCACUGGGUGUGGGAGGGAGCCCCAGGGCCUAAGGCCGGCACCCCUGAGACUCCGGGGCGUGUACAGCCCCACUCAUUAUUACGUGAGAGUGUCACGGGGCGGCGAGCUUCACAGGCACUGGGCCUUCUUCACAGGUACCGGCCUUGCUUCAUAUCGCCAGAUGAGGGCCCCGCCUUGCGCCACACUCUAGUGCCAUCAACGACGACUGGAAACCAGGACGCCGCCGAUGGGGUAGAGCGGUCGCCAGCGGUUCCCCCGACGAGCACGGGUCCUCCGCCAGGGGCAGGCCCUAAGGCACCUCCCCAGCAGAGGGCCUACCUCCUGAGAACACCUUGCUCCGAACGCCGCGGUGGUGAUGUCGGAUCUCGGCCCCUCUCCUGCAGCCCCCUGCACCCUCCUCCCGAGGGGUAGGAGACUGUGGGAGCGGGGUAGCUGCUCGCUGUGGAGACCUGCACCUCCUGCGAUCCAUGAUUAGCGUAUGCCUGGUCCUGAGGAAUUAGCAGUACCCGAUAAUCGCUGCCUCUAGCGUGGCCGAUGGGACCGUCCCGGUGCUCCUGGAAGGGCUCAGCUUCUGGCGCCUCGUCCCCCCAGCUUGGGCUGAGGAGCGAGCCUUGUUCGCCCUCGUGAGGGUGCCCUUGGUCCAUCAUGUGGGGCACGUAUUCUUCUGGCGCCGUCAUCCCGAAGGCCAUGCCGUAGUGCUCCGCGUGCCAUGCAGCUCUGCUUGACGCGCCCACCGUGGGGUGGUAGCGCGGCUGUCCACUGGGGUUGUGGGUCGCGUCGAGUCCUUCUUCUUUGCAGACCGGGAGCGGGGGCAGCGCUGCCGCCGGUCCGGUGUUGACAGCUUCGCUGGAGUUGGAGUAGCCUUGGAGCCCGCGGGCACGCGCGGAGCCCCCGUGCGGGCCGCCCUGGGCUUGAGAUGGGAGCUGGGUGCAGAAGGGGUGAGCCCCCGAGGCGGCGAAGCCCAGGAGGUCUGCCACCCGCUCUAGCAACACGUCACGGCCGCCCUCCAGCAGCCUGCACUGCAGCAGCUCUCGGGCCACCGUGAGCGCGGCCCUCGAGUUCGCCUGCUCCCGGCAGGUGUACGGUGUCGUGGUCGCGGCAUGAUUGGAGGCCCUUGCUGCCGACCGCGCCUGCCGUGGUGUGACAGCUGUCGAAGCCUGUCCACGUCGCCCGCGGCCCGUAGUGCCCUGCGGACUGCGAGCUGCCUGGGGCAUGGGGUCGCCCGAGGCGAGCGGCUCUGCGCUGGCGGGCCAUGCCGCCCAAGGAUCUGGGUUGCCCGCCUGGUCGCCGGACACGGUGAUGACGACGCGACGGGACACGAAGCAGUAGAAGGUGGAUUCCGGCGCACCCCUACCUGGCGCGCCAAAUGUCGGAUUUCGGGUUCCGGCAGACCCUUGAGGUUCGAACAGUGGGGUGCACGCAGAGAUUUCGCCUUCUACCUACCUGUGCCCCUCUGCCUCGCUAAGAUCUAAGCUAUGGAAAGAACAGCACAAGAAACACAGGGUUUAUACUGGUUCGGGCCACCAUUGUGGUGUAAUACCCUACUCCAGUGUGUGGUGUGGUGGAUUGCCUCUUGGGCUGAUGAUGAUGAGCAAUACAAGGAAGAAUAGCCUCGCAAGGUUCUGUUCUUGGCUGAGGGGAUGAACUGCUAGGAGGAGUUCAGUCACCCUUCUCUCUCUCUCUCUUCUCGAUUCUCUCUCCGAUCUCGAUUUCCAUCCAUCUACCCUAUGGGUGGCUAGUCCUAUUUAUAGGCAAAGGCCCUGGGCCUCUUCCCAAAUAUUGAGUGGGAAGGGCGCCAACAAUUGGCCAUUUUGAAGGGGAACAUCUGGUACACUUAUCCUGACUAAAGUUGGUCCUCGCCUGCCAAAGGCUCUGGUGGUGACGCUGGCUUGGGCUCCACAAUGACUUCCUUCCUGUCGUUGGACUGGUCUUGGUCUCGUUGCACCAAAACGGGUGCCUUUGCCUGAUGCUCUCGCCUGUGCUUGCUCCCUUUGCACCAAAGAGGAAAGGAGGGCACUGUGCGGGCUGGCGCCCGCCUGGCACCCUUGGUCGUCAUGGCUUGCGUCACGGGCACCUCGUGAGGUACCCCGCCUUGAUCUCUCCGCCUCCUCGCGAGCCAGCCUGAUGAGGCCGUGCCUGAGGAAGCUCCGUGUCGUACACCCCACGAGGCUUGGCCCCACGCGAGGUUCUUGGGUCUGUGUUGAUGAAGAUGGGCCGUGCUGGGCCCCCCUUUGAGCCACGCCGCAGGCCGCAGGCAGGCAAGUCUGGGGACCCCCAUUCCCAGAACGCCGACAAGUUCUAUGUUGCCUUUCUUAAGAAACUCAAGGGGGCAGUGUAUAUCGUUUCACACUCAAAGGUGGCACGUUCCCUCUUAGAACCACGAGCUUCCAAAUCGGCCCAAUUUUUUAUCACAACAUGUUAGUGCCAUGACAUGAGACCAUGCCAAGUUUCAUGAUUUCUAGGCGAGUUUUGGAUAUACAUGAAUUUAAAAUCCAAGUUUCUCGAUGUUCUCGGCCGAGUCAUGAUGCCCAGAUGUUUGAAUUUCAUUCUCAUUUCUUCCAUGGGACCUAGAAAUUCAACCAAUGACACACAUGUGAUUUUUUAACCCACUUUGUGCACCGGAGCAUGUGCAUGCAAUUCAUAUUUAGAUUAUGCACAUUAAAAGUCCAUAAACUCAAUUAAUGUAUAAAAAGGCCAAAUGAACCCGAAAUAAUUCCAAAAUUUAAUAGGGCACUCAUAUAGUUCUAUGUUGCCUCUGUAAAUAAAAUCAGGGGGAGGCAGCGUAUAUCGUUUCGCACACAAAGGUGACACAUUCCCUCUCAGAACCACGAGGCUUGUUGAGAGAAUCUUCGGUUUUGCAAGAGGCUUAUACCAAAACUUGUCCCAAUUCAGCCAAAAAUUAUAUGUAUGAAAACAGGGUUUAGAUUAUCCCAAACAUCUCGCUACCUAGACCAAUAAUGUACUAUGAUUUGAAUUCAACAUAAAAUGGAUACAAAUAUUUGAAUUGGAGAGUGUAUGGUACAUUUAGUUCAUAGUGAAAUAUGAUUACUACUAUAUGUAUGUUUUUUGUUAUCAAGAUAAUAUUUAAAUUAUUGUAUAACUUGACAACAAUCGUAUUCAAAUAAGGAAAAUUGAUUCAAAUUUAGUCCAUAUGGUAGACGACAAUAUAUAUGUUCACAUGGUGGAGUAAAUUGUUCAUAUAUGAUGGAAGAUCAAAAUGUACGACUGCAUCAAUUAUAAACCACAAGGUCACCUAACGAUAUAUUCGAAUUCAACAUAACGUGGACCAAAAUUGAAAUUCGAGAUCAUGGCAUCUGUAAUCAUAUAAAAAGGGACAUUACUCUUUCUUUGGUGGGAAUUGAUUUGUUUUUUGUUGUUGUUCAGGGAAGUGUGAAUCGAUUUGGUACUGUGCAGGGUAAUCUUGUUCUCUCGAUUUUUUUACAUUUUUAUUGUAGUUUUUUCAAUGGCAUCUAUAGAAAUAUAGUAAAAGGGGACAUGACUCUCUUGUGUCUUGUAUGAAUUGUUUUUUACACGUUAAGUUUUUUCUGCCAAACAAGGAAUCCGCACCUUGUUAUCCCGAAUUUUUUCAAGCUCGAGUAUCUUUUGUCUCACCUGCUUUGAAACUCCCUCUUCUUCAACCCGCGCCGCGCCUUGUUAUCCCGAAAUUUGGACAUGCGCGAGAACUCCCUCCUCAUCCGAAAUUGCUCCCGCAGCCCAGACACGUGAAAUCCUCCUUCUACCCCUCAGCCGGAAAUGAAGCUCAAUGUCGCGGUGUCAAAACCGGUGGGGGUACGCUGGUAACUUACCCUACAUUUCGGACAAGCGUGUCCCUAAGCUUGGCUCCCCCCUUCGCCCCCCAUUCGUACACCGAGGCCGCCAAAACCCGCGAAACCCCACGCUCCUCCGUCGGCCUCCCGACCGCCGCCCAGCCGGAGACUCUUCCCCGACUACGUCGCCCACCGCAAUAGCUCGCCAUCCCUCAUCCACCGCACUGGAUGAGGAUCCGUUGUCGAUCUCAUCAUCCCGCCGGAUCAGCCGCCCUGUCCUCCACCUCCAAGGAGCUGCCCCGACAUUCACCUCGUCUAUCGUGCCACCUCAAUCCCCACAGCACCUUCUUGACCUGCCCCACUGGAACUGCAGCACCCUCACCAAUUCCUCCGAUGAAGCCGAGGCUAACUCGGCACCACCAAGGAGGUUCUGCACUCACCGCUGCAUUUUAUCUUCUGGGAUAUCAAAACACGCUAUCUAAUAUUCCUUCUGGGCUAUCUAAUAUUCCUCUUCGCAACAAGCCAGAGAGGAUUUUGAUGAUUUGAUUUCUGGAAUGGUUGAGGAAAUUCACACGUGUCGGAAUUGCUUGGAAAAGGGACAUUUUGCUACUGCUUGCACAUCCAAACUUUGGUGCCUCUCUUGCUGCCGUGUUGGUCAUGUUAAAAAAGAUUGCAACAAAUUUGCAUGAAUCUUGGGUUUGGUUUGGCAACCAAAACACGCUAACGUUGCAACUUCCGAGGCCUCCAGUGAGAAUAUCUCCCUGACAUCACAUUUACCAAACUUGGACCUCCCUUGCACUUCCACAUUUACUCCCUCCUCCAGUCCCAUCAUCCCCCGACCCAAGACUCCAUCGACUCCACCGCCUGCUACUCCUCCUCCGCCGCUGCAAUCGCAGUCGGCGUCGGUGGAGUGCGAGUGCUCCGCUCCCGUGGCCAACUUCCAUCUGGAUCCUCUGCUCUAUGUCCCGGCUAGCCACCACAUUGUUGAUGAUGGAGAAGACCGGGUGCCGAGAACCUUUGUGAUGCCACAUACCCCAAUUGUGCGCCGCCAUGAAGAGUUUAUGCUUGCUGAGGUAAUGCUGAUCCCUCCGCCCGAUCAUAUAGGUGCUUCUAGAGAGGAGGUCGUUCAGUGGAUGCAUGCGCAUGGUGUCUUUGUCAGGUCCGCACAGCCCUAGAUUCGCCUAGUAGGUCUUUUCGAGCUUAGAGAUGCUGCAGUUCGGUUUCACUUGCUUCAACUUCCACCGCAUCCGCUGGGCAAUGAUUGUUUUGUUCACUUUAUGAAGCAUGAUGAGGGGGAGUCUUUUAGGGGUGCCCAAGGUUUUCGUCAAGGUUUACUCAUGUUUUUGGGCAUUCCUUUAGAUCUCCACAAUAUCGAUUGCAUUAGAGCUGCAGUGAACACAUUUGGCAAGUUUCAUCAUUGGAUUAAUGAUGAUCCAUAUCUGGUGCGGACUCUCGUACUUUCUUCUUUCCCUGAAGACGUUCUUGUGCUCCGUGAUGUCAUAUUCAUGGAUUAUGCUGCUUGGGGCGGCACGCGGGUCUCCUGGAUGGCUCCCCUGUAUAUUUUGGGGGCGAAUUUUGCUGAACAGAUGCCAUACGAUGAAGAGUGGAUGCCCAUCAAUGGCAAUCCACAUCCGUUUCCUGGGGUGUCGUUCCCUGAUCUGCCACCGUUCAACUUGCCCCCGUAUCCAACCUUGGGAUGGAAUGAUGUCCCCCCUCCUCCGGAGCCUGCUGUCAAUGUAGUGGAAGAUGAUAAUUGGGGUAAUUGGAAUGAGCUAGUGGACCAACCUGUACCACAAGACCAGGAGUCUAUGGUGAUUGAUGUUUCUACGCAGCCCAGCUCUAAUGCUGUUCAGCAGGGUCAUGUUAUUCCAGUUAUUUCAUCUGAUGAGGAGUUGCCUGAUGCUCAUGAGGCUCCUUUGAUCGCGACUCUCGAUGUUAAUGAUGUAAACAACUGGGCAAUUGUGGUUUAUCAACCUCCUCUGAUUAUGCCCGAAGUUGAGCUACCUGUUGUUGUUCCUUUUGGGCCUCCUUUGCCGCCUGAAAUGGUGUGGAGGAGGUCUUUUGAAAAUCUCCCGCAAGCUCCAGUUGUUGUCAAUGUUCGAAAAUAUGUUGCUUUGCAGCCUCUUGAGCCAGUGGUUUUAUCAAAGAGAAGUUGGGACUUUGCCUUCAGAGACAUGGAGUUACCUCUGCUAACUUGGAAGGAACAGGAGCCAGUUAGGUCGGUUGCUAGGGCUUUGUUUUCUGCAGAUGUUACAGAAAUUCAGAUAUCUUCCUCAUCAACUGCAACACUCAUUAAACCUAGGAGGCCUCGCAACACAUUGGCGCCUACUCCCAUUGUGAACACCUUUGUUCGAAGAUGUACCGGGAGCUCGGCCCAACGUGAUGGGUUCAAGCCCACCUUUCAGGAGCUAACUCUGCAGCCCAAAAGGAACAAGCCCAGAGCAAAGCCUUUCACUGCUGAGAUGCCAAACGACCCAGCCCAAGAGGAGAUCUCACCAGCUACACAUGUCAGUCAUCUGCAAGAAAUUGGGAGAGAGCUGGAGAUUGAUGCUUAGCUCCUAUCUUUGGAUGCUCUUAUGGUGGCUCCACCUCAUGCUGAUGCCUCUAAUGCAAAUGCAUAGUGUGGUAUUUUAAUCCUAGGUCUGGCAAGCCCAUGAAUUUGCUCUUCAUCUGUCCUUUGCUGGUUACUCUGUCAUGCAAACUUUAUUGUAAUAAUGCUGGGUCAGACUGUUAUGUGCUCUUUUGUUCAUAUGGCAUUGUGUGUUGUAUGCUUUGUGGACCUUAUUAUAUUAUGUUUUAAUGAGUAACCUUUGUAGAAAUUGGAAUGCUAUGUGCUGGAGUGUUAGAGAUUUAAAUUUUGAGGCUAGGCAAAGGGCAGUCAGGCAAAAAAUUGAUGAAAGUCAGUGUGCUAUUGCAUGUUUGUAGGAAACCAAAUGCUCCUCUUUUGAUUCUAGGUCUAUUAAAAGUUUCUGCCCUAAGAGAUUAGACAACUUUGCUUGCUCUCCUUCCAUGGGAGCCUCUGGGGGAAUUCUUGUGGUCCGGAACUCCUCAAUUUUUAUUGGAACAUUAAUAGAGGUUCAACAAUUAGCAGUAGUUGUUGAGUUUGUGUCCAGACAGAACAAUGAUAAAUGGACUUUGGUUGCUGUUUAUGGGCCCUGUCAGGGUCAAGCCAGAGAUAAUUUUGUCACUUGGCUCUAAAAUCUGUGUAUUUCUGUUAAUGAGAAUUGGUUGCUAUUAGGGGACUUUAAUUUCAUUAGGUCCAUAGAUAACAGGAAUGUACCUGGUGGGGACCUAAAUGACAUGUUCAUUUUUAAUGAGAUAAUUGGGCAUUUGGGCCUUCUUGAGUUGCCCAUCAAGGGAAGAUCUUUCACUUGGUCCAAUAUGCAAGACAACCUACUUCUUGAGCUAUUAGACUGGUUUUUCACUUCAGUAGACUAUAUCUCUGAUUACCCUAUGACUGAAGUGCUCCCCUGGCUAGGACUGCAUCUGAUCAUGUCCCCUGUGUUGUCACAAUCAAAAUAGCCAUCCCUAAGUUAAAUCUCUUUAGGUUUGAGAACUAUUGGUUGGAGCUGGAAGGUUUUAUGGAUUGUGUUGCUAGGUCUUGGAGAAUACCUUCUAGGAGAGGGCACAUAACUGCUAGAAUUGCAGAUAAGUUUAAGUCUCUCAGAAUGUGUCUGAAAAGAUGGCAAAUGAAUGUAUCUAAGUUGAAUCUCCUGAUUGGUAAAUGUAAUCAUGUUAUUUUUCUUCUGGAUGAAUUAGAGGAGUGGAGGCCUCUGUUUAUUCAGGAGCUUAAUUUCAGAAGAAUUGUCAAAGUGCACAUGGAGAAAUGGUUACAUUUACAAUUCCUUUAUUGGAAUAAAAGGUGCACUAUCAAAUACAUUAAGGUGGGAGGGGAAAAUACAAAGUUUUUCCAUGCCAUGACCACUGAAAGGCACAUGACGAACUCUAUUGCAAGUCUAAAAUUACUCGAUGGUACUUUAGUCAAUGACCAUUCUCAAAUGGAAGGAAUCAUUUGGAAUUGUUUUAAAAAUAGGAUGGGUACCUCAAGAGGCAUUUUCAUGGGUGUUGACCUCCCUGCUCUCAUCACUCCUGUAGAAGGCCUUGACAAUCUCACCAAACCUUUUGAAAAGGAUGAAGUGGUUAAGCAUAUUCCUGUGGAUAAAUCUCCAGGCCCUGAUGGUUUUAAUGGCCUAUUCUUCAAAAAAUGCUGGCAUAUAAUCUCUCAAGAUUUUUAUGAGUUAGCUCAGGAUUUCUUUGAGGGCUCUGCUAUCUUGGAAAAUAUUAAUGAUUCUUACAUUACUAUUGUACCUAAAAAGCCCACACCUACGGAGGCUGGCGAUUAUAGGCCUAUUUCUCUUAAUAGUAUGGGUCUGAAGUUUCUUUCUAAAAUGGCGGCAAAUAGGUUUCAAGAGGUGAUCUUGCAGUUCAUUCACAAGAACCAAUAUGGUUUUAUCAACAGCAGAACAAUUCAGGAUUGUUUAGGCUGGACCUAUGGGUACCUGCAUUAGUGUCAUCAAUCUAGGAGGCCAAUUGUAAUCCUUAAGUUAGAUUUUGAAAAGGCUUUUGAAUCAUUGGAACAUGAAGCUAUUUUCAGAUUCUUAGGCACAAAGGUUUUAAUGAGAAAUUUAUUCUCUGGAUGAAGCAGCUGCUGGGCACUGGUACCUCUUCAGUUCUUCUUAAUGGUGUCCCUGGGAGGAAGUUUGUUUGCAAAAAGGGGGUCAGACAGGGUGAUCCUGUCUCUCCACUUCUCUUUGUUAUUACUCUAGAUCUUUUACAAUCAGUCAUUAAUGACAUGUUCAGAAGAGGAAUUCUGCAUUUUCCUAUCCCUUUCCAUGACCAGGAUUACCCAGUGAUCCAAUAUGCAGAGGAUACCUUAAUUAUCUUACAUGCUGAUAGGGUACAACUUUUGGCUUUGAAAGAUAUGCUCCAAGUGUUUGCUCAGUCAACUGGCCUUGAUGUCAACUAUCACAAAUCCUUUCUCAUUCCCAUAAAUGUUGACCCUUUGGUGAUGAGUGAUCUAGCUGUUGCUUUUGGUUGCCAGAUUAAAAAAAUGCCCUUCACUUAUCUUGGGCUGCCAGGGGGAACCACAAGGCCCAAAAUGGUGGACUUUAUGCCUCUUGUGGAUUGUAUGGAAAGAAGAAUGACUGCUAGCUCCUCUUUCCUCAACCAAGGGGAGAGACUACAAUUUUUGAACUCUGCAUUGUCUUCCAUGCCCAUUUUCUUUAUGUGCAGUUUGGCUAUUUCUCCUGGAAUCCUCAAGCAGUUAGAGAUAAUUCAUAGGAAGUGUUUAUUGAGAAAGCAUAGAGAUGAGCCAGCCCCCUCCCUUGCUGCUUGGGAGCUUAUUUGCAGGCCAAAAAACAAGGGUGGACUUGGUAUUCUCAAUUUUGGGGUGCAAAAUGUUGCCUUGCUCCUAAAGCAUGCUAGUAACUUCCUCAAUAGAAAGGAUAUUCCUUGGGUGUCUCUCAUUUGGGACUCUUAUUACCAUGGUAGGGUGCCUCGAGGAACUUCUGCCUAUGGCUCUUUCUGGUGGAAGGAUAUUUUCAGGGUUAUACUGACUUUUAGAGAAUGUUCUUGGGUUCAGAUUAAUGAUGGUGACACUGCUCUAUUUUGGUCAGACAACUGGAAUAUUGGUGAUGAGGUUUCUCCACUCCAAUCAAGAUAUCCUAGGUUAUUUUCAUAUGUUAAAGACCCAUGGAUUUCAGUCAAGGAGUUUUUCAGUUCUCAGGAUAUUCUCCAGCAUUUUCAUCUCCCUCUGUCUGCUCAGGCAUUUGGGGAGUUGGGCAUGAUCCAAUCUAUGAUGGGUUCUCACAACAGAACAUCUGGCACCAAGGAUGUGUGGUUUUGGCAGAACUCCUCCAAGCAGUAUAGGCCCAAGAUGUUUUACCCCCACAAUUUCUAGUCUGAAACCUUUAAUCCUUUGCUUUGUUGGAUAUGGAAAUCCUCCUAUACUCUCAAGAUUAAGGUGCUUGCUUGGAUGCUCAUCAUGGACAUGCUGAAUACAAAGGAUAUGGUGGAAAGAAGACAUUGGCACAUGGAGGAUGGUGUGCAUUGUAGACUCUGCCCCUUGCAGGUUCAAGAGACCAGGGAUCAUCUCUUCUUCAACUGCAAUUUCAGUGUUAGAGUCUGGAAUUAUUUACAGAUUGAUUGGCCUACUGGAGAUUCUAUUUCUGAUUUGGUUAUUCAGGCUAGGAAUGGUUUUGAUAAACCUUUUUUCUCUAAAGUGGUGUUCACUGCAUGUUGGAACAUCUGGAUCAAUAGAAAUGCCAAGGUUUUCAUAAAUGAGAGGGCUAGAUUUAGUAAGUGGUUAGGUGCUUUUAGGCAUGAUAUUUCUUUGUUACAACAUAGGAUUAAAUCUUCCUACAAGGAUAACCUUCUCAAGUGGAUCUCCUUCCUUCCCCCUUAAGGCUUAGUGUAGUAAGGCNNNNNNNNNNNNNNNNNNNNNNNNNNNNNNNNNNNNNNNNNNNNNNNNNNNNNNNNNNNNNNNNNNNNNNNNNNNNNNNNNNNNNNNNNNNNNNNNNNNNNNNNNNNNNNNNNNNNNNNNNNNNNNNNNNNNNNNNNNNNNNNNNNNNNNNNNNNNNNNNNNNNNNNNNNNNNNNNNNNNNNNNNNNNNNNNNNNNNNNNNNNNNNNNNNNNNNNNNNNNNNNNNNNNNNNNNNNNNNNNNNAUUUGUUCCUUUUGAUUAAUAUAUUUUGCUAUGUUGUGGGGAUUUACCCCACAGUUCUGAGUCAAAAAAAUCUAGCCAUUUUCCAAUUUUAAGUCUUGGCAGAUUUUUUAGCAACUUAGCAUAAGUCAAGCAAUCAGCCUACACAUGCAAGUAUAAGAGUAUAGCAGCGGAAUAUAAAUCAUUGCACAUGAAGGUAAAGGGAGGAGUUUAUAGGGAGCAAACGCAAUGUAGACAUUGAGAUUUUUGGUGUGGUUCCGAUAGGUGGUGCUAUCAUACAUCCACGUUGAUGGAGACUUCAACCCAUGAAGGGUAACGGUUGCGCGCAUCCACGCAGGGCUCCACCCACAAAGGGUCCAUGAAGAAGCAACCUUGUCUAUCCCACCAUGGCCAUCGCCCACGAAGGACUUGCCUCACUUAGGUAGAUCUUCACGAAGUAGGCGAUCUCCAUGUCCUUACAAACUCCUUGGUUCAACUCCACAAUCUUGACGGAGGUUCCCAAGUGACACCUAACCAAUCUAGGAGACACCACACUCCAAAAGGUAAUAGAUGGUGUGUUGAUGAUGAACUCCUUGUUCUUGUGCUUCAAAUAAUAGUCUCCCCAACACUCAACUCUCUCUCAUGGAUUUGGAUUUGGUGGAAAUAUGAUAUGAGUGGAAAGCAACUUGGGGAAGGCUAGAGAUCAAGAUUCUUGUGGUUGGAUUGGAAUAUCUUGGUCUCAACACAUGAGUAGGUGGUUAUUUCUCAGAAAAUGAAUGGUAGAAGUGUAGGCAUGUUCUGAUGGCUCUCUCAAUGAAUGAAGAGUAGGUGGAGGGGUAUAAGUAGCCUCCACACAAUAUCUAACCAUUACCCAAAAUUUACCAAACUCGGUGGGACCGAAUCAUGAAACUCGGUCAGGCCGAUUUAGUUCAAAAUGUGAACGUUAGGAUUUUUGGUGGGACCGACAUGUCAACUCGGUGGGACCGAUUUCAUUAGGGUUAGGGCAUAACGUAAUCUUGCUGAGACCGAUCACAUAAACUCGAUGAGACCGAUUUCAAUAAUAGGCAAACAGAGAGUUGGUCAGGCAAACUCGGUGGGACCGAUCGCUCAUUUUGGUGAGACUGAAACAUUACGAAAAGGAAAGAGAGAGUUUGCAUUGUAAAAUCGGUGGGACCGACUGCUCAUCUCGGUUAGACCGAAAUGUUACAAAGGGAAAUAGAGAGUUUGCAAUCCCAUCUCGGUAAGACCGAGAUCCCUACCAGUGAGACCGAACUAAUUAGGGUUUCUCACAAUGGCUAUCUCAAAUGAACUCGGUGGCUCCGGAUAGAUCAAAUUAGUGGGCCGAGUUUGACUUUUGGUUUGGGACAUAUGUGGAUAUGAGAAUGUGGUUGAUGGCUUUUGGAGCAUAUCACUAAGCAUUUUGAGCAAGCAAGCCAUUAAGCAACACCUCAUCCCCUUUUAAUAAUAUUGGCUUUUCCUAUGGACUCAAUGUGAUCUUGGAUCACUAAAAUGAAAAGGUAGAGUCUUGAGCUUUAGCCAAUAUGUGUCCUUAGCAUUUUGAGUGGUCCACAUUCCUAGUCCAUGCCAUGCCAAUCAUUGAACUUUCUGAAAUGAUCAUCUUGAAAGAGCAUUAAUUCAAUGAGCUAUAUGUUGUUAGGCAUUACCAAAACCACCUAGGGACAGUUGCACUUUCAGAGUCACUGACACACGGGUCCCAGCGUCAGGUUUGACAUGUACCGCCAGUUGACCUGCUGACGUCGCGGCUACGCCGUGCUGACGCAGUUAACAAUUUUUUGAUUAAAAACAAUCCAGGAAAUUUUAGAAAAUGUUUAAAACUUCAAAAAUUCAUAGAAAUUAAACUGUAACUCAGAAUGAAAUAUUCUAUAUAUGAAAAAUUAUCAGAAAAAUAUGAGGAAUCUGUUUAUGGAGUUUUAAUGCAUGUUGGAACAACUUAUAGUUGCUGUAUUGGACAAACCAAAUAAAUGGCAUUUGAAUUUUCACAUAUGGAGUUUGAAUUUGAACCUUGGGUUCAAACCAACUUCAUUUAAAUCCUUGCUAGUUGCAUUAGCUCAAACCAUAUCAUGCUGCCUUGUUAUAAUCAUGCAUCAUAUUGUUGCAUUGCAUUGAUUGUGUUCCUUCUCUGUUGCCGGUGUUUGUCCCCUCUCAAUAGACGUUCGUUCCGAUGAUGAAUUUGAUGACACCGAUGAAGAGCUAUUACUAUCUUGAGAAGUGCCAGGCAAGCAAACCCCCUUUGAGCAUUCUGAUACAAUCCCACUCUCUUGCUCUUCUUCUCUUUUACUGCAUUAGGACAACAAUGAUUCAACUGUUACAUGUUGCGGUAGUUGAACCGAUUCCUCUGCAUGAUCUAUCUUUGCCAAAGUAAUUAGUAAAAGCCCACUAGCAUGACUAGGAGUUGUUUGAGCCAUGAUAUUCCUACUCAUUCAUGCUUUCUUGUUAUGCCUACUAUGCUUAGAGUUGUGUCGGGUCUGAUUCAUCUGGGAUGUAUUGGAAUGGUGACGAACAUGUCCUACUAUUGAGAGCUAAGUGUGUGAACACGAUUUGGUAAAGGUAGCGAUGAGAGGCCAUGUAGGAGUACAUGGUGGGUUGUCUCAUUGAAACCGUCCCCAGGAACUGAGUUCUGUGUUUGUGAUCCAAGACAGUUACUACCACACAUUGGUUUCCGGUACGUCGACCCCUCUUGGCUUAUUAAUCACCCCGAUCUCUGUCCAGGAGUUGCAACUAGUUUCUGGUGUUUGUAGGUUUUGUUAGUAGUCUACCAAGGGCCAGUUCUUUUGGGCGAUUCUCCGAGAAUCGCCCCCCUCCCUAGCUUCUUCCAGAAUCACCACUAUAUAUAUAUAUAUAUAUAUAUAUAUAUAUAUAUAUAUUACAAUCCUAUCUAGUUAUGGUCUAAUUAGCUAGGAUUGUAAAAAAAUAUGAAGUGACAAUUCUAGGAGAAGCUGGGGAGGGGGCGAUUCUGGGAGAAUCGCCUAAAAGAACUGGCCCCAAGUGGCACCUGACCAGGUGGGCUUGGGAUAGACUAGGCACCGUGGCCUGGUGUACCAAGUGGCACCCGUUUGGUGGGCUUGGGAACCCUGCACACAUCGUUGGGGCUAUAGUGGAAACCCCAGCCAGAUUUCCUUGCGGAUGGAACCUGAAUAGGCGAUAAACCUCGACUAUAGACUUGUGUGGUUAGUUAGGUCGUGGCCGACACCCUCGCUAGACAUCCGCUUGAAGGUUGUCGAGUACAUGUCGUGUAAACGACGAUAAGUGGUGAGAGCGUGUGUGAAGAAGUACACCCUUGCAGGGUAAUAUGAUCUAUUCAAAUAGCCGUGUCCGCAGAUAUGGACUACUCGGAACGCUUACAUUGUUCAUAGAUAACUUGAAGUGGAUACUCUAAAAUGCACAAGAUAAGCAUGAGCGCUAUGGAUGGCCUUCUCGUAAGGAGACGGGAGCGGAUCCAUAGUGGUGUAUUGAUAUAGUGAAUAUGUGGACUCGUGUGCGCCACCUAAAAGAGUUACCAAUGGUCAUAGUAUAGGAUAGGCACUGAGUCAAAGCCGGCUUGCUGUAGUUAAACUCCACCACCCCUUUGUUGAUACUGAUGCAUAUGUAGCUAGAUCUGAUGUAAGUCUUGUUGGGUACAUUUGUACUCAUAUUUGCUUAAUUUAUGUUUUGCAUAGGAGACUUCGGUCUCACUAGUAGUUUCGCGUGGACUUCGACGUUUAGCUUGUUACCUCAGCUACGAUCUUGUACCCUUGGGAGGGUAUUGUAGAUAGUCAAGCAUCUCAGCCUUUUUCAUUUGUACUUGUCUGUACUCAGACAUGUUAUGCUUUCAUUGCUUGUAUGCUCUAUAUGUUGGGUCAUGCGACCCAUGUUUGUAAAAAGUGUUAUGUGUCUCUUCUGGUCCUUUAUCUAUAUGAGUUGUUGAGUUAGGUUGUGAUGCCAUGUUGUACAUCACAUACUUGCAUGUUAUGUGUACGUGUAACGUGUAUUGCUAUGUGUGGGAUUCGACACCUAGUUGUUUAUUCUUGGUAGUGUCUCUUAUGGGGAAAUGUCUCCUAGUGUCAUGGUUCUAUGUCUGACAGUAGAAUGGGGGGUAGGUAUGAGGAGGCAAGAUCCUAGCUACGGUGAAGUUGUGCACGCAAGAUUUACGAGUUCAGGACAUUCUCGGAGGAAGUAACAGCCCUACGUGUCGGUGCCCGGAGGCUGGUUGAUUGGAUUAUGCGUGAAGUUACAGGGGGUGCGAACCCUUGUCCGAGAGGAGGGGGUGGCUUAUAUAGAGUGCACCAGGACCCCAGCCAUCCCCUGUUACAUAGAGUUCAAUGUACAUAAAGAGGAGACGUUACUGGUAAGGUCAGCAUUAAAGUGAUAUAAAUUAUCCUUAAGACUACGAAGUGAACGCCUGACCGUUGCCAUCCAGAGUGACCUUAGAGCUUCUGUACUUUGAGUGGUUUCUAAUGUGGUCGAAUGAUUAUAUCCUGGUCGAAUAGAAUUGGGUAGUCCGAGUGGAACUCAUGGUCGAGUGGGUUGCUUCCUGAGGUGAUUUCAGUCGGUAGAAUUUGAUGUCCUUUGAAUGUCUUUGACUGUAGGGCAGUGUCCUUGGGAAGGGUGCUUAGAUCAGGUCUAUUGCCCUACCCUAGGUACGUGUCAUCGUCAUUAGCCCCCGAAUGGUUCUGGGUCUGAGCGGAGAUGGAGUUGAAGAUGGUUCCGACUCAAUGUUCAUGCUUCAGAAGCAUUUUACUUGGAUUGGUGAACCAUGCAGAAAUUCUGACUUCAUUUCCCGUCACCUUGAGCUGUUCAAAGGUUGUCGAGUAAACUUUUGCUGAUAAGCUUCGAAUGUUGAUAUGACAUAAAAUCUUCAGCACGGUCGACAAUGUUGCCGUCCCCGGAUCUCGCGGGAUUCGAAAUCUGGGGAAGCGCGCGGGACGGAGAGAGCCGCAGUAAGCGGGGCGGAUUAGGCAGGGGCACCUUGAUUCUCGCACCACCUUUUUCGCCAUGUAUCGAGCACGCGACUAUUGCGGGAUUUCACAGGACUGCUUGGGUCCACAAGUCAGUCACUCGGGGAAUAGGACCAUAUAAGGCGUCCGGGCCGGUGUCUUUGCACAAUGCGCCCCAUGUUCCCCCUUCUUCCUCUGCUUCUCCACUGCAUCCGCCUCCGCCCUCGGCGCCGCCACCUAGUCCGAGCUCAACUUGCUGCAAUGGGGAACGACAAGACGGCGACACUGGAGCAUGCAAAGAAGGUGACGACGGAGGCAAAGGGGAAGAAGACGAGCCAGGGAGGGUCGUCGUCGAGAACUGGCCUGCCGCCCAGCUGGAUCCAGGGCGACUGGAUCCAGUUGAUUAUCCAGCGAGAAGAUAUGGAUGAUUUGGCUAAGGGGGGACUGAUUCCCCAUGAUUCUUGGCGGCUUCCAGAGGACGAGACCGAGCCGUGACCGCAGGAGGGUGAGUGUAUCCUUCUUGCGACCCAUGUCGACCGCAGUUUCUAUUUGCCUCCCCAUCCUUUCUUCCGGGGUUUAUUGAACUUUUUUGGAGCCCAACUUCAUCACUUUUCUCCCAACACCAUCACAUACCUUGCUACAUAUGUGUCGAUGUGUGAGAACUUCCUAGGCUGUCGACCGCGCUCGGGUCUCUUCAAACACAUUUUCACUUGUCGUUCUCAGUCUAUAAAAAAGGCCAUCCAAGUGAUGAGAGGACACACGUGAUCCAGAUGUGUGGAGUUCUAGGGAUCCAGAUGAGGAAUAAAAGCACUUUCCCUGCUAUGAUUCUCCACGAGUCAGUCAGAGGGUGGCAGUCGGCCUGGUUCUAUUGUAAGGACCAACCGACCCCGGGUCAGUCGACUGGCCUUCCCCCAUUUUCCAUAGGACAAGUUGAGAAGCCUUCUCCCUUGAGAGUGACUCCAGCUGAGAAUGUGGAGGUGAAUAUGUUGGUUGAGCGAGUAGUCCAACUUGUCUAUGACGGUGUGACUAGCAUGGACUUGCUAGAGGUGUUCCUUAGUCGACGCAUCCAGCCACUCCAAGCCCGUUACCAUCCAAUGUGGAUGUAUUCGGGUAUUGAAGACAGCACUCGAAUCCACCCGGAGGAAGUUGAUGAGAAGACGGUGGCACAAUGGCCGCAAGGUAUUACUGGCAACAAAGACAACCCCAGGGGGUCUAGGAGGAUUCCUCCACUCGACAACACCAACGAACCCAACAAGGUCUGACUCCUUUCUUCCGAGUGUCUUUUUUUUUGACAUGUAUUUGUUCUUGAAACCGAUUGAUAUCCACUCGACUCUGUGCCUUGCAGAUCUACACUGAGAUGUAUUUUAUGCCCAACGGAGAGUAGGAGUAGGAGGGAGAGGCGAGCGGAGGUGACAGUGGCGACUGGCAUUCUGACGGAGGAGGAGACAAGGAAAGUGAAGACUGGAGCAGUGGUGAGGAGGUCGACUCUCCACCUCGCACGGAAAGAUGCUCCAAGCAGAGGCAGACCCAGCAAGUGUUCGUGGCAAAGCAACUCCACCAACUGGACAGACCUCAAAGCGCACUCGAACAUCUUCUCCUGUGCUGACUGAGAAAGCUCCGAAGCAGCCAAAAGUCGCGCAGUCAAAGCCCCAGAAGGCCCUGCCAAAGAUUAAAGUGGCCAUCCCCAUCGCUUCUGGGUAAUUAUUUUGCGUGACCUCUUAGUUUUUGCAUGACUCUGACUCGACCUUUGGUCGAUUCACUUUCCUGUUUUAACCGAGUGAAUUCUGAAAUUCAGAGAGCUGCCUCUGGGACUUCUAUUUACCAGGAUGAUGAUGACGAGGAGAUGGAAGAUGCAGUCACCUCCAACGCGGGUAUAACUCUUGUCAUCUUGUCUUUACUUUAUCAGCCAUUUCGACGGUCGACUGAACUCUUGCAAUUGAUUGAUUUGCAGCUCCACCCAAUGUUAUUAAACUUCCAAAUGACGACGAAGAUGUGCCACAGAGACCCAUGGGAAGGAGCGGCAGGACUUCGAGCAGGAACGCACCAACUAGCAAGACGUCCCAGUCGACACCGGCGACGGAACCAGUGAUUCAACAGUCCGGAGACAUGAAUUGGGCUUAUGUUACUUUUGUUGUUCCGGUGUCGAGUGAACGCCCUUCAUCGUCGACUACACAAGUCCUAGUUUCAUCUGUCCAACACCAUGCCUCGGAUCCUCAAGUUGUCGCUACUGAACCACCAUCUUCGCUAUUCGCCACCCAUCAUGUUUCGGAGGACCAGGCAAGCGCUGCUACAGAAGCUAUACGCCAAGCAGGCCUGAUGAUGGAGUGGAUGAAGAUAGUGCACGAGACCAGCCAAGCUGCCUAUGAUGCCAGUGCAGCCCUCCAAGCCAAUUUCCAGGUUUGUUGGUUUCCGACUGAUCUCCUAUCUUGACGCUUGUUCUAUUAGGAUAUGUUACCUGAAAACUUUUCAUUGUGCAUCCAUUUGUUAGUCUGUACUUCGCAUCUGUACACCCACUGGGUGUUUCAAUUUGUGCCGAGUAGUUUUUCCAGUUGAGUCGACUAGGUUGUGUCGAUUGUAACUUUCGACUAGUGGGGGAACGCAAAGUGCACCCACUGGGUGUAGUCCCCGAGGCCAUCAUCGAAUGUGUGAUUCGGCGGGGGUCUUGAUAAAAAUAUCUUGUUAUUCAGCUUCCACUCGGUCUGGCCGGACCAUAUCGAGUGGAACAUAACCAGUGGGGGCACGCUGAGUAUGGAAGGUAAAAACUUGUCGACUAUAGGAUUUGGGUUGUCUCUCAAGUCAUCUCCUCGUUCUUCUCUCUGAACCGAGUGCUUGUUUGUUGUAUAUGUAUAUUUUUUAGAGAAAAUGAGGCAGGCUCUGUCACAGAAGGACCUUGAUCUUGCCGCUCAGGAGAAAACAACACUCGCUGACAAGAAGAUGGCUUCACUCGGGGCGGUAGAGGAAGACAACGCCAAGCUGAAGACUGCUCUUGCCGAAGCUAAUAGAGAAGUGACCCUUCUGAAGAAGGACAAAGUAGCUUUGAACGACAAGAUUGAGGACAUUUCUCAUAAGAGAAAUGACCUGGAGGCUUAUCUAGGGGCACUCACCAAGAAGUUAUUCCUUAUGCUUGAAGGUACCUUUCCUUGUCUGACUAUUUUGCUAUCAUUGAUUCACCAUAAAGCCAUCGACUCAUUAAUUCUUUGUGGUUGUAGAAUUCUGUCAAAACUUUGAGGAAGAAACUGGGCAAAUCGAGACAAGCUUGGACCCCAUCAAUUCCCCUGUCAAGGAUGAAGCUACCGUGAACGUGCUUCGACUGGAAUCCCGCCUUGCCAGUGUUACAGACUACCUCGCUCGACUGAAGGUUGCGGUUUCGCGGAUCGACACAACACUUUGGCCAAAUGAGACACUCCAAAAUGACCUCAAGUCUUUGAUGACUCGACUCAAUGAGAUCCCUGGUCGAGUGCAGGAAUGGAAGAAAUCGUCUGCUCAAUGUGGUGCUGAUGUAGCUCUGUCUCUUGUUCGCGUCCAUUGCAAGGAGGCCAAAGAAGAGAAGUUAGCAGUGAUCAAGGCUGCCAACACCAAGAGACUUGACUUCCAGUCUUUUAUGGAGACCUUCAUUGCUGCAACUGCUCGAAUUGCAGAUGGAAUCGACCUGGAUGAGUUCGUCGAGCCUGCCAGUCCUCCUCCUGCGGAGAGAACAAACUUUUUAUGAUCCGAUUAAAUUUGCCUCGGUAUGCCGAGUGGUUUUGUAACUGUUAAACUCCUUCGGGCCUGAUGCCCGAGUAGUUUAAUCUGCAGUCUGGAACCUCGUAGGAUUUAUCUGAACUUUGUUGUUUUUGAAUCUCUUGACUCUGAGUGGAUCUUGAUUCUUUAGUCUGAAUUGUUACUGACUCUAUGAUGCAGCUCAGUCGAGUGGACCAUGAACAUGGGCACUUGGUGCCAUCUAUAACCUGCACCUCGUCGUCCUUGCGGAUCAGGAUGGGGUGCACAUUGUACUAGUGCCGCAGUUCUGAGGAUAAGGUCGCAGUUGACCUGCACCUCGUCGUCCUUGUGGAUCAGGAUGUAGCGCACAUUGUACUUGUGCCGCAGCUCUAAGGAUAAGGUCGCAGUCGACCUACACCUCGUCAUCCUUACAGAUCAGGAAGGAGCGCACAUUGUACUUGUGCCGCAGCUCUGAGGAUAAGGUCGCAGUCGACCUGCACCUCGUCAUCCUGGCGGAUCAGGAUGGGGCGUGUUUUAAACUUAGGCGAGUACGUGACUGCAGCUAAGCCCCCAAGUGAGAGGGUUGCUCUUCACUCGGUAGGAUUUUUAAACUUAGGCGAGUACGGGACUGCAACUAAGCCCCCGAGUGAGAGGGUUGCUCUUCACUCGGUAGAAUUUUUUUUAACUUAGGCAAGUACGGGACUGCAGCUAAGCCUCCAAGUGGGAGGAUUGCUCUUCACUCGGUAGGAUUUUUAAACUUAGGCGAGUACGGGACUAUAGCUAAGCCUCCGAGUGGGACGAUUGCUCUCCACUCGGUAGGAUUUUUUAAACUUAGGAGAGUACGUGAAUGAAGCUAAGCCUCCGAGUGGGAGGAUUGCUCUCCACUCAGUAGGAUUUUUUAAACUUCGGCGAGUACGUGACUGCAGCUAAGCCCCUGAGUGAGAGGCUUGCUCUCCACUCAGUAGGAUUUUUUAAAGUUAGGCGAGUACGUGACUAUAGCUAAGCCCUUGAGUGAGAGGCUUGCUCUCCCCUCGUUAGGAUUUUUUUAAACUUAGGCGAGUUCGUGACUGCAGCUAAGCUCCCGAUUGAGAGGGUUGCUCUUCACUUGGUAGGAUUUUUUAAACUUAGGCAAGUUCGGGACUGCAGCUAAGCCCCCAAGUGAGAGGGUUGCUCUCCACUCGGUAGGAUUUUUUAAACUUAGGCGAGUAUGGGACUGCAGCUAAGCCUCCGAGUGGGGGGAUUGCUCUCCACUCGGUAGGAUUUUUUAAACUUAGGUGAGUACGGGACUACAGAUUAGCCUCCGAGUGGGAGGGGGGAUUGCUCUCCACUCGGUAGGAUUUUUUAAUCUUAGGCCGGAUCAGAUUCACAGCUAAGCCCCGAGUGAGAGGCUUGCUCUUCACUCGGUAGGAUUUUGUUUUUGAAACUUAGGCGAAUCGGAUUCGUGGCUAAGCCACCCACUGGUGGAUUUUGGACACAUGUAUAAGUAAUAACAAUCAUUUAGGAGAUUGUAAAACCAUGUCUUUUAUAAACAAACUGAAAGGUACUUCUUAUUACAUCUCGAUAGUCUAAAUGCUUAAGUCUUAAAAUUGCAGAGAACCUCUGCAUUCCAAGUGCGUGGCUCGUCAUUCUUGUGUUCCACAUCAUACAGGUGGUAUGCUCUGUUGUGGAGCACUUUGGUGAUGAUGAAGGGGCCUUCCCAGGCGGGAGCAAGCUUGUGUGGUCGUUGCUGAUCCACUCGGAGAACCGGGUCCCCUUCCUGAAAUGCUCGGCAUCUUACGUUCCUAGCAUGGAACCCACGAAGCUCUUGCUGAUAAAUGGUUGAUCUGAUCGGGGACAUCUCUCUUUCUUCUUCCAAAAGAUCAGCAACGUCUUAUCGGGCUUGUUCUACUUCUUCCUCUGAGAAAAGCUCCACUUGCGGGGCAUUAUGGAGUAAAUCUGUCGGUAGCACGGCUUCGGCUCCAUAAACCAUGAAGAAGGGAGUCCAGCCAGUUGACCGAUUUGGCGUUGUUCUCAGACCCCACAGUAUUGAUGCUAACUCAUCUACCCAGGCACCAGCCACAUGCUUGAGGUCGCGCAUCAAUCUGGGCUUCAACCCUUGUAAGAUCAAACCAUUUGCGCUUUCUGCUUGUCCAUUCGACUGUGGGUAAGAGACUGAAGCAUAGUCGACCCGGGUGCCCUAGGAAGCACAGAAAGCUCUGAACUCAUCUGAAUCAAAGUUUGAACCGUUUUCUGUGAUGAUGCUAUGUGGGACUCCAUAUCUAAAUGUGUAGGAUCGAAAGUGUGUCUAGAGGGGGGUGAUUAGACUACUUGGCCAAUUAAAAAUCUAUCCUUUUCCCAAUUUUAGUCUUUGGCAGAUUUUAUCUAUCUUAGCAAAAGUCAAGCAAUCUUAACACAAUUCAAGCAAGCAUGCAAAGAGUCUAUGAGCAGCUGAAAGUAAAGCAUGCAACUUGCAAGAAUGUAAAGGGAAGGGUUUGGAGAAUUCAAACGCAAUUGGAGACACGGAUGUUUUUGCCGUGGUUCCGAUAGGUGGUGCUAUCGUACAUCCACGUUGAUGGAGACUUCAACCCACGAAGGGUAACGGUUACGCGAGUCCACGGAGGGCUCCACCCACGAAGGGUCCACGAAGAAGCAACCUUGUCUAUCCCAUCAUGGCCAUCACCCACAAAGGACUUUCCGCACUACCGGUAGAUCUUCACGAAGUAGGCGAUCUCCUUGCCCUUACAAACUCCUUGGUUCAACUCCACAAUCUUUGUCGAAGGCUCCCAAGUGACACCUAGCCAAUCUAGGAGACACCACUCUCCAAGAAGUAACAAAUGGUGUGUUGAUGAUGAACACCUUGCUCUUGUGCUUCUAAUGAUAGUCUCCCCAACACUCAACUCUCUCUCACAGGAUAUGGAUUUGGUGGAAAGAAGACUUGAGUGGAAAGCAAUUUGGGAAGGCUAGAGAUCAAGAUUCAUAUGGUGGGAAUGGAAUAUCUUGGCCUCAACACAUGAGUAGGUGGUUCUCUCUCAGAAAAUGUGUAUUGGAAGUGUAGGUAUGUUCUGAUGGCUCUCUCUACGAAUGAAGAGUGGGUGGAGGGGUAUAUAUAGCCUCCACACAAAAACUAACCGUUACACACAAUUUACCAAUCUAGGUGAGACCGAAUUGAGAAACUCGGUCGGACCGAUUUAGCAAACCUAGUGACCGUUAGGAUUUUCAGUGGGACUGAGAUGCAACUCGGUGGGACCGAUAUGGUUAGGGUUAGGCAUAACGUAAUCUCGGUGUGACCGAUUACACAAACUCGUUGGGACCGAUUUUGGUAAUAAGCUAACCAUAGAGUUGGUCAGGUAAACUCGGUGGGACCGAUCGCUCAUUUUGGUGGGACCCAAAUGUUACAAAAGGGAAACAGAGAGUUUACAUUGCAAUCUCGGUGGGACCCAUCGCUCAUCUCGGUAGGACCGAAAUGUUACGAAGGGAAACAGAGAGAUUACAACCCCAUCUCGGUGUGACCGAGAUCCCUAUCGGUGAGACCGAUUUGCCUAGGGUUUGUGGCAGUGGCUAUGACAUCUGAACUCGGUGGCACCGGAUAGGAAGAAUCAGUGGGGCCGAGUUUGACUUUUGGUUUAGGUCAUAUGUGGAUGUGGGAAGGCAGUUGAGGGUUUUUGGAGCAUAUCACUAAGCACUAUGAAGUAAGAACCUCAUCAAGCAACACCUCAUCCCUCCUUGAUAGUAUUGGCUUUUCUAAUAGACUCAAUGUGAUCCUGGAUCACUAAAAUAUAAAAUGUAGAGUCUUGAGCUUUGAGCUUGAGCCAAUCUUUUUGUCCUUAGUAUUUUGAGGGGUCCACUUAUCUUAUCCAUGCCAUGCCAUUCAUUGAGCUUUUCCUGAAAUAUUAAUCUUGGAAUAGCAUUAGCUCAAUGAGCUAUUUGUUGUUAGGAAUUACCAAAAGCACCUAGGGAUAGUUGCACUUUCAAUCUCCCCCUUUUUGGUAAUUGAUGACAACAUAUAGAUCAAAGCUUCGACGAAUGAUAAUAAGAGUGAAAAACAUUGUCGCUUUGAGAAGUAUGUGAAAAGCAAGAGCUCCCCCUAAAUUUGUGCAUAGUUUAUGAUUUGCUUUGGACUGCAAAUGCAUAGAGAAUUAGGCUCAUGGGUUACUCUUCCAUGUCACAUACAUCUUGGUGGAGCGCUCAAAAUGAUAAUAAUUAAAUACAUGCACUCAUCACCAAGCAAAGUGAUUGGUCAUAUAGGUAUAAAAUGAUAAUGUCAUCCAACAAGCAUUAAUGUAGCAUAUGAUUAAACACACAUGAUCAUCCAAGUAUCACGCAGACAGAAAGUAUCUCAAUCAAGAAAAUAAAGUUCAACCACCAAAGCAAGAGAGAAUAAAAAAGCAACACUCUCUCUCGAAGCCUAUGAUCUAUACAUUUUUCUCCCCCUUUGGCAACAAGUUACCAAAAAGUUCCUAGAAAAUGCAUAGCACUAAAUAGUCUCUCAGGCUUGGUCUUCAGGUGGUGGUGUCCGGAUAACUCCAAGAACGAAGGCUUCAGUCAAUGUAGAUGGAGCUGAUGGAGUAGGUGCUGGAGCUGGUGGCACUGAAGUUGUAGCUGGUGCAGAUGAUGUGGCUCUGGUGUCUGUUACUGGCACUGCAGCAGACCUCUGAGCUCUAGGCACUCUGGAAAAUGCAUCAGUGGUUGUCUUGCCCUUCCUCUCCUGCAUAUCAUCCUGAAGUUGCUCCACAACAGACUGGAUCUUAGUUACCUUCACAUCCAUGUCAUAUAACUUCUGCACUAUGAUCCUUUCCAAGCUCUCCUGGUUUUGAGUCAGGGUGGCCAUCCCUUUCUCAAUCCUUAGAGUGGAUGCAAUCAAGUAGCCGAGCUGAUCUUGCUUGCUAUUCAGAAGAUACUGAGAUGCCUCUUCCAUGGUUGGCAUCUUUGCAUCUUUCUCAGCCUUUGCCUUCUCCCUCUUCGCUUGAACGUGCACAGAAGAUGGUUCAUCCUCAUUUAUAACCACUUGGUUGUCCUCAAAGUCUGGAUAGAUAGGCAUGUGCUCCUUGUCCAACAAGUAUGUGCCAGUGCCCAUCUUGGAGUUAAUCAACUCCUGGAUCUAUGGUGCAUACCCACAGCUUCUCUUUUGGUCAGCAGCUGUCCUCUUGAUAGUUUCAACUAUAAGACUCAUGACCUUGAACUUUUGUGGGACAUCAAGUAUAUGUAGCAGAUUGAUGGAGUGGCCUCUGAUCAUUCUGUGAUCACCAGACUUGGGCAGAAGAGUGUGCCUGGGAAUCCAAUUGAUAGUAGGCAGUCAUGACAGUAGGUGUUUCACUGAUCCAAAUUGGUGAGUCUCAAGAUCUGCAUCAGGAAUCUCCUUGUACAUGCUAGCCAUGGAGUUGUGAUCCUUCUUCUUCUUGGCAUAGACAUCCAAGUCAUCCUCAUUCUCCUCAGGAGCAUUGAUCCAUUGAGCCCAUUCUGCUACUGUUGACUGGUAUCUAGUGCCUUCAGACAUCCAGACUAUCUUGCCAUCUGGGUAGAAGUGAGCUGUGGAGUAGAACUGCAUGAUAAGCUCAUCAUUCCACUUUGUGAGCUUCUGAGCCACAAACUCAUCAACUCCACAAGCCUUGAAACUGUUAGAUACUCCUGGAAAAUGUUCUUCAUUCUCCUUGAUGUACUCCCAGUUGACCCAUCUCAUGUCACAUACUAUUGGUUUCUUGUCAAGCAACACUGUCUCAUAAAAAUCCUGCUGUUCUUUGGUAUGGAACCUGUAGUCCACAGCAGUUCUCCUUCUGGUGGCAUAUGGAUCUGACUCUCUCCAUAGCCUCAAUCUUGAGUCCUUCCUGAUCUUCAUGUUUUCUGCUACAGGAUGAGCAUCAUUAUGAUCUGGAAUUUUUGGCUUUAACUUCCUCAAAACAUGUGUCUCAUCAUCUUCUUCUUCAGCAACAGUUUCAGGCACUGGGGCCUUGUUUUUCUCAGCAGCUGGAAUGUUCCUGGUACUCCUCUUUGGUGCAGAUUUGGGUUUUGGAGCAGCUGGCUUAGAAGUUCCUUUGGGCUUAGAUUGAGCAGCCCCAGAUCUUAUGGCAUCUCCCAUAAGCUUUUGAGCUUUGGGUGCUGGUGUUGUAUCCUCUUCCUCUUCUUCAGAGUCUUUCAUGAUUGAGGAUCUCCCAAGCACUCUGGCAGUGGUCUUCUUGACCCUCUCUUUCCUCUUCUUCCCUUCUGCAACAGCCUCUUUGGGUUCAGAUUCCAAAGGUACUUGAGUAGAGGCUCUGGCUUUAGACAUGGGAAUUCUCUUUGCAGGUAAUUUGGUCUUCAUACCAGGCUUAGUUGCAGCAGCAGUGCUAUAUUCCUUUUUAACCACUUUCUUCUUGGAAGUGGCCUCAUCCUCAACUGCCACAUAGUCUUCAUCCUCAGAUUCAGAAGUUUUCUUCUUUCUGGCCCUCGUGGUAGCCUUUGGCAGAUUGCUUGGUGUGCUCCUGCUGCCAUCAUCUGAGCAACUAGAGGGACUAGUGCCCUCACUCAAGUGAACCUGCUCCUCUGACUUGUUCUGGCUGUCACUUUGAUCAGACAUAUUGCAAUCUCUGACAACUGACCAUGUGAAUAGAUUAUAGAUGAUGUAGAGUGGAUGGGCAUCAUAAAAUACAGAGGUUUUGCAAAAGAAUGAAUCAAAAACUUAGUUUUAGUUUUCCUUAGAAAGCAAUUCGGAUCAACCGAUUUGUAAACUCGGUGAUACCGAAGCAGCUUUUGGAACCUAAACUAGUGCACUCGGUCAGACCGAGUCACAGUUUGGUGGCACCGAGACUGCUAGGGUUUCACAAAGUCCUGAACUCGGUCACACCAAUUUUCAACUCUCGGUCAGACCAAGAAUCGCAUGUGCAAUGGCCUGAGCCGAAUCGGUGGUACCGAGUUUCACAACUCAGUUGGUCCGAGAUGGUUUCGGCGGAAACCUAACCCUAAAUUUUCAAAUCAUCUCUAAUCUACAGAGUGUUUUGACUGGAUAAGAUAGUUUCAAUCGUGGCAAGAUUCAUGGCGAACACAAUGUGCUAGGAAUCAGAUAAGGAUAGCAUAGUGAUCAAGUUCAUACCCUAGUUCGGCGAUGAACUCGCUAUGGCGGGAACGGUGGGGAUGAUUCCCGUUGACGGCGGCGGAGACCAACGGCAGGAGGCAACUGGCGACGAGGAGGACGAUCCGGAGACCCUGGAGGCAGAGCGGGCUAAGUUCGGAGAAAAUUUCCAAAAUUUUGCCCGUGGGUAUAUAUAGCCCGACCCUGUCGGUGUGACCGAGUGGAACAACUCGGUGGCACCGAGAUGCAUAACUGCAAGUAGUUGCUGCAACUCGGUGUGACCGAAAAGUUCAAAUUGGUUGCACCGAGAUUGAAAACCUAGAUCGACUUAGUGAUCUAGGUAUGACCGAAAUGGGUGAAUCGGUCAGACCGAAAUGCACAAAGAAGUUUUGGAAGUUUAAGUCUAUGACGAAUCGGGGACUCCGAGUGCUCCUCACAUAGAGUGGUUCGAAUCUGACUUGAUCAAAUUUUGUGAUGUAGCAUGAAUAGAGUUUGAGACGAGAAAAGCAUAGAUAGCUAGAGAAGGUUCUUAGGCAUUCUUGUCCAUCCACUUGGCCAAAAGAAAAGGAAACCAAUCAAUCAAAACAACAAGUGGAUGUCCUCAAAUGAGUAAAUUAUGCAACCAACAUGCUCACACAACAAAAUGACAAAUGAAAUAUGUGGCAAAGCAUGCACAAAUAAUUCUAGCAUCUAUCAAGCAAUUGGUGAUAGCUAGGUCAUCUAUAUAUGAGUAUAUUAACUUAGGAGUCAAAUGAGAACAUUUGAUCACAGGUCAUACUCAUCGUUUAAGCACAAGUGGGGUUACCACUUUUACAUAAAGUGUUGUUGUGUUCACACCAUUAGAGCUGCUUUAACUCAAUUGUUAGAGAAAAGCUCCCCCUAGAUGUGAGAUCCCCCCUAAGAGGGAUGAACUAACCUUGGGUUUUGUCGAUGAUGACUUCAUGUAGAUGUUGAAGAUGUGGAUGCUCUAAGUUGAUGUAGAUCAUUCGGAGCUAUCCUUUAGAGUGAGUUGCACUUUCAAUACCUACACGGGUUAGUCCCACAAGGAACAAACAAGGAUAUCCAUAGACAUGGAGUGAUGCACACACUAGAUGGUGUCUAUGAAAGCUUUAGGUUACCUUGUCCCGUGUCUUACCAACAAGAGGGUUUGUGACUCCUUGAACUAGUGCAAGAUGUGUAAGUUGAUUGCACUCGUUCUUUGCCAAAAUGAUAAGAGUGAAGUAUGUUGGCGGAGUCACCCUCAAGAACUCUCUAGUUCUUCUUCUUCGGGAUCCACACCAUCUUGAUGGGAAUCCUCGGAGUUGUAGUUGUACUUGAUAAAGUGGAACUUGAUGUAGUCUUGGGAACCCACUUGACCAAGGCCUUAGGAGCUUCUUCAAAUGCAUUAAUUUCCUCUUGAAGCUUGUACUUGCCUUUUUGCUUGUGGUCUUGUGGUGGAAGAUCAUCUUGAGCUUGUGUCCCUUUGGAAGAAGUAGGAUCAUACUUCUCCUGUUGAGAAACAAACUUCGUCUUGAGGUAUUGAUCUUAUUCCCACUCAACUCCAUUGGCAUUGAACUUUCGUUCAAAACCAAUACCUUGAUUCUUCCGGUGCCUUCCUUGCUUGCAUACAAUUUCCUCAAAUUGCUUAGUCCCGGCAAGGCUCUUGUAAACACCUUUCUCUAUGAUUCCCUUCAAUAAGCUAUUUUCUUGCUCAAGUGUAACUUGGCUAAGAGAAUCAUUAGUGGAAUCAAGAGAACUACUAGAAGCAACAAUAUUGGAUUUAGCAUGAUUAUUCUUACUACUAGAGGAAGAAUCUUUCUUGUUCUUGUUACUAGACUUGACUUGAGGCAUGUAAGUGGAUAAGAGUAAACGCUUGGCAAUGUAAGAAGAACUUUUCUUGCAAAGAUCAUCAUUGAUUGCCUUUAAGAACUCAUGCUCUUGCUCAAGAUUGAGCUUCUCAAAACGUAAUUUCUCAUGAGUCCUUAAAAGUUCUCGAUGAUCUCUUAAGAUAGUUUCAUGAGCUAACUUAAGAGUGUUUAGUUAUUUAGUUAGAGACUCAAUCUUCUCCUUAUCAUUGUCAUUUGUUUCAUCUUGAUUAGCAUGAUUAAUUGACGUUUCAUCAUAGUAUUCAUCAGUAUAGUUGUCAAUAAGUAAAUCAUCAUCACCUAACAAGUCAUCUUCAUCACUAUUGAAAUCAACAUACUCGGGUGUGAUACCUUUGGACCUUUGGCCAUGAAGCAUCUUCCAAUUCCUUCAUUUGGUGAAUCAAAUAUGGCGUAGGAGUUGGUUGACACAAGUGCUAGACCGGCAACACCUUCAACUUGAGUAUAUUCGGAGUAGGAGUGAUAGCUUCUCUCGGAGUCAUUGUCGGAGUCAGAGCCGGAUACCCAUUCACCAACAUGAGCUUGAUGUCUUCGUUUUGUGUAGCUCCUUGAUGACUUGUCCUUCCUUUCUGAAUCCUUGCUUCUCUGAGAGGGUCUUUGAGGGAGUCCUGGAUUAGGGGGUGUCCGGAUAGCCGGACUAUAACCUUUGGCCGGACUCUCGGACUAUGAAGAUACAAGAUUGAAGACUUCGUCUCAUGUCCGGAUGGGACUUUCCUUGGCGUGGAAGGCAAGCUUGGAAAUACGGAUAUGUAGAUCUCCUCCCAUUGUAACCGACUCUGUGUAACCCUAGCCCUCUCCGGUGUCUAUAUAAACCGGAGGGUUUUAGUCCAUAGGACGAACAUACAAUCAUACCAUAGGCUAGCUUCUAGGGUUUAGCCUCUCUGAUCUCGUGGUAGAUCUACUCUUGUACUACCCAUAUCAUCAAUAUUAAUCAAGCGGGACAUAGGGUUUUACCUCCAUUAAGAGGGCCCGAACCUGGGUAAAACAUUGUGUCACCUGCCUCCUUUUACCAUCCGGCCUAGACACACAGUUCGGGACCCCCUACCCGAGAUCCGCCGGUUUUGACACCGACAUUGGUGCUUUCAUUGAGAGUUCCGCUGUGCCGUCGUCAUCACGAAGGAUGCCUCAUCCCGUCUUUAAAGCUAAGGGAGCUUUGGUUGUUGGCCAAACUCUCCGGCUAGGUGGUUUUCUUAUGACCGCAUGUUCGGCCGCUGCGCCGACGAUGACUUUUCGGGUCAUCAAAAGCAAUCUUCACGUCAACUCGGAACUUGCCGAGUAGUUAGAUCCAAUGGAGCUCUCUUCCCUAAACGAGCUCUUGGAUCGCAUCGCCACCCUGGGAGUCGCUACAAACUAUGAUCAGAUUGGGCCUAAACCCGAUCUGAGAGAGAUCAACUCUUCCUAGGUCACCCAUCACGUUGCAGUGGUGGAGGAACAAUGCGGCGACCCUUCGUCUAUCUUAAGGACUAGCUAUGUCCGGAUUCCCGAUCCCUCCAAGCCGGAUACCCGCGGAGGGGAGGACGUCACUCAAGACCUGAACCUAGAGUCAGGCAGCGGGCCAGAUUCAGUGGAAAACAUCCAAGAAUCCAAACUUCCGAGUUCGGAAACUCCUUGGCCCCUGAGUCUUAGAUUGGGUGAGGUUUAGGAUUCAAUUACACCCACCCACCCAAACAUAAGCGAUCUAUCCCAAAUUAGGCAAGAUCCCAAAUUAACAGUACACCAUUACUGGGCCAGAUUCCUCCUGGUCAUGAACAGGAUAAAGGACUGCCACGAGGAAGACGCAAUUUCAUUCUUCUGCAAUAAUUGCACGGACAAGGGAAUCCUCAACGCCAUAAGUCGACGUGAAAUUACACGCUUUGCCAACUUGGCGUCCAUUGUACGAAAGUACUGUGCAAUGGAAAGCGCCUGGAAAACCAAAAUAAAAUUUUGGGACAAUCCGGCCCUGAAUACAAACCCAGUCCGAAAUAAAAGGGUGCAUUAUCGCCAGAUACCCGGGUUAAACACCAAAAAGAAAAAACCCUCUACAGGGAAUGGAACCGUACUGGAGGGAUGGCUCAAUGGACCCUGUAAAAUUCACAGUGUACAGGGUGCCACACCAACUCAUAGCCUUAGAGCAUGUUGGAUACUCCGGAAGGUGGACAAAAGUGGCGAAGACAUUCUAACCCCAGAAGCCACAGAGCACCAGCCCAGGGACACCAGUACGGUAUUAACAGUCUUCAAGACUUUCGCAUCAAAUAAUAUGCAAAGACGAACACUCCGUAGCCUUGCCGAAGUCUACCACGUGGAAACAAUAAACCCAUGGAGUGACACGGCUAUUACUUUUGAUGCCAGUGACGAACCUAAAUUCCGAACAGCCCGAGCACCAGCCGCAUUGGUCCUCAGUCCAAUAGUGGAUGGCUUUUGACUCACCAAGGUACUCAUGGACGGUGGCAGCGGAUUGAACCUCAUUUAUGAGGAAACCCUUCGAAAAAUGGAAAUAGACUGGAACCGCAUUGAGCGAAGCAGCACAACCUUUAGAGGAAUAAUCCCCAGUCGGGAAGUGCGCUGUACAGGAAAAAUCACACUAGAUGUGGUGUUCGGCACGCCGGAUAAUUACAGGUCCGAGGAGGUCACAUUCCAAGUGGCCCCGUUCAGUAGCGGAUACCACGCUCUAUUAGGGCGGGAGGCGUUUACAAUCUUCCAAGCCAUACCCCAUUACGGGUACAUGAAGCUCAAAAUGCCCGGGCCUAACGGAAUCAUCACUCUUGCUAGUGAUCCGGACAUAGCACUCCGCACCAAAAAUAAGAUAGACGCACUGGCACUCGAGGCACUAUCCGAAGCCCUAGCGGCCGAGGAACUGACUGCGCUGCGCUCCACGAUGAACAGGGACGACGUGAUACUCGAUAAAAGAUCCAAGUCCACCUCCUUUAAACCGGCGGACGAAAUAAUCAAAUUCCAAGUCCAUCCAACGGACCCUACAAAAAUAGCUCCCAUCGGGGCACAAUUAAACCCUGAUGUAGACGCCGCACUACGAGAGUUCCUACGCGAGAACUGGGACAUUUUUGCUUGGCACCCUUCAGACAUGCCAGGAAUCCCACGCAGGCUGGCCGAGCACAGCCUAAAUAUCCUAAAAGGAUUCAAGCCAGUCAAGCAGGCUCUUCGGCGUUUCUCCGAACCUAAGAGACAAGGCAUGGGAGAGGAACUAGCCAAUCUAUUGGAGGUCGGAUUCAUCAGAGACAUAAAACAUCCGGACUGGCUAGCAAACCUGGUGAUGGUACCAAAGAAGGACAAAUCCCGGCGCUUGUGCGUCAAUUUUAAGGACCUCAACAAGGCUUACCCAAAGGAUCCCUUCCACCUCCCCCGCAUCGAUCAAAUUACUGACACUACUGCAGGACACGGUUCAUUGUGUUUCCUCGAAUCAUACUCCGGCUACCAUCAAAUCAACACGGCAGAGCCAGACCAAGCUGCAACGGCAUUCAUCACACCAUAUGGCGCAUUCUGCUUCAACACAAUGCCCUUCGGGCUCAAAAACGCCGGCGCAACAUAUCAGCGCAUGAUUCAGACAUGUCUGGCAAACCAUAUCGGCAAAACAGUGGAGGCAUACGUAGAUGACGUGGUCGUCAAAACCAAGCAUGUCGAAUCUCUAGUAGACAACUUGAGGCUCACAUUCGAUAACCUUCGAACAUACGACAUCAAGCUCAAACCAGAAUAAUGCGUUUUCGGCGUACCAGCCGGAAAGCUCUUGGGCUUCAUUGUAUCCGGUAGAGGAAUUGAAACAAAUCCAACCAAGAUCCGAGCUCUAUCACAAUUGGACAUCCCAAAGGACCUCAAACAAAUACAAAAAAUGACCGGAUGCGUGGCGGCUCUAAGCCGCUUUAUCUCCCGCUUGGGAGAAAAGGCAUUACCCCUUUAUCUCCGGUGCACCGAACACUUUGAGUGGACGGAUGCCGCCACGGCCGGACUCGACGAAAUAAAAGCCAUAUUGGCAACAAACCCAGUCCUGGCUGUGCCAAACAUUGGCGAACCAAUGCUAUUAUACAUUGCGGCAACUCAUCAAGUUGUAAGCGCAGUGCUCGUCGUCGAAUGAGAAACGGAUGGACACAAAUUCCCCCUUCAAAAGCCGUUUUACUAUGUGUCCACUGUCCUUACUCCAUGCAAGUUACGGUACCCGCAUUACCAAAAGAUAGCGUACGCGGUAUUUAUGGCAUCCCGGAAGCUACGACACUACUUUCAAGAGUGUUUGAUAACGGUAGCCUCGGAAGUACCACUUAAUGAUACUAUAAACAACCGCGACGCGACGGGCUGGAUUGCCAAAUGGGCCAUUGAGCUCCUCCCGUUCGACAUAACUUACAAGCCAUGGUGAGCUAUUAAGUCGCAAGUUUUGGUCGACUUCAUUGCCGAAUGGAUGGAAGCCGAACUCCCUAAAGAGUACGGCACAUAUUCCAACUGGAUCAUGCACUUCGACGGCACCAAAAUGUUAGCUGGUCUGGGGGCUGGCGUUGUUUUGACGUCCCCAACAGGAGAUACAGUUCAAUACAUACUCUAGAUAAUGUAUACGGACUCCAACAACACAGCCGAAUAUGAGGCCCUUCUACAUGGUCUCCGCAUGGCAGUAUCCAUGGGCAUUCAACGCCUAGACGUGCGCGGGGAUUCGAACCUCGCGAUAUCCCAAAUAAAUGGAGACUUUGAUGCCAAGGAUCCGAAAAUGGCAGCAUAUCGCGACAUCGUCCUAAAAAUGUCAGCUCGGUUCGAGGGGCUCGAAUUUCACCAUAUAGCCCGGGAAAACAAUCAGGCAGCAGACGUCCUGGCACGCAUCGGCGCAAAACGCAAUGCCGUCCCUCCCAACAUCUUCUUGGAGAGGCUGUUCAAGACAUCCGUAGUAUGGGAAGGGGAACCCGAAAAUAACAGCCCGGACCCAACCGCACUGCCCGACACCGAACAUUCUGACAUAAUUGGAGGCUCUGCCAACGAAAUAACAUCUUCAGCCCACGUAAUAAUGGAAGUCAUCGCCUCGUGGACAGAACCAUGCCUAGCCUACCAAACUAAGUAGGAACUUCCCAGGACCAAAAUGAGGCACGCUGCAUAGUGCGGCGAUCUAAAGCCUAUAAAGUCCAUGAGGGAGAACUUUAUAAGAAAAGCACCACCGGAGUCCUUCAAAGGUGCAUCUCCGAAGAGGAAGGGCAGAAUCUUCUGGCUGAAAUUCAUGCCGGACUCGGCGGUCACCACGCUGCAGCCUGGGCCCUUGUAAACAAGGCCUUCCGUACAGGCUUCUAUUGGCCGACGGCCUGGGCAGACACUCAGGACUUAGUCCAAUGAUGCGUUGGUUGUCAGCUUUUUGCUAACCAAAGCCAUAUGCCACCCACCACCCUCCAAACUAUCCCAAUCACCUGGCCCUUCGCGGUCUGGGGGCUUGACAUGGUUGGACCCCUUAAAGGAGGAACCCACAAGCAAAAAUACUUACUGGUCAUGGUGGAUGUCGGUGUUCUGGGAAUGGGGGUCCCCAGACUUGCCUGCCUGCGGCCUGCAGCAUGGCUCAAAAGGGGGCCCAGCGCGGCCCAUCUUCACCAACACAGACCCAAGACCCUCGCGAGGGGCCAAGACUCACGGGGCGGACGACACGGAGCUUCCUCAGGCGCGGCCUCGUCAGGCUGGCUCACGAGGAGGCGGAGAGAUCAAGGCCGGAUACCUCACGAGGUGCCCAUGACGCAAGCCAUGACGUCCGGGGGUGCCAGGCGGGUGCCAGCCCACGCAGCGUCCUUCCUUCCUCUUUGGUGCAAAGGGGGCAAGCACAGCCGUGGAGUACCGAGGCAUCAGGCAAAGAUGCCAUUUCGGUGCAACAAGACCAAGACCAGGAGGACUACGAGAUGGAGGUCACCAUGGAGCCCAAGACGGCGUCAUCACCAGAGCUUUGCGCAGGCGAAGACUACUUUUGUCAGGGUAGCUAGUACUAGCUGUCCCCCUUCAAAUUAGCCCGCCAUUGUUGGCUCCCUUCCCGCUCGAUAUUUGGGAAGAGGACCAGGGCCUCUAUAAAUAGGACCAGCCACCCACAGAGCAAAGGGGCCCGAUGGUUUGGAAGGAUAGAGAAGAUCAGAAAGAGAGAGAGAGAGAGAGAGAGAGAGAGAGAGAAAGGUGACUGAGCUCCUCCCAACAGUUCAUCGCCCCAGCCAAGAGCAGACCCUCGCGAGGCUGUUCUUCCUUGUAUGGUUCUUCAUCAUUAGCCCAAGAGGCAAUCCACCACACCACACACUGGAGUAGGGUAUUACACCACAAUGGUGGCCCGAACCAGUAUAAACCCUGUGUCUCUUGUGUUGUCAUUUCCAUAGUUUAGAUCCUGGCAAGGUGGGGGGGUGCAGGUAGGUAGGAGGCGAAAUCUCCGCGCGCACCCCAGUGUUCGAACCUCAAGGGUCCGCCGGAACCCGAAAUCUGACAUUUGACGCGCCAGGUAGGGGUGCGCCAGGAUUCGUCUUCCACCAACCCGUUCUCCUCCGACCAUCACGCCCAUGUCUGACGCUCGUCGGGCCCGCGCCGAGCGACGGGCCGCACUCGCUUCCCGCGUCACCCAGACGGCCCUGUCGGCGGGCGUCCUCGCCUUCCCCAUCACCUGUCGUCAACGCCGCCACCGGCCCGGCGGGGGACGAGCGGCAAGCAUCGUCCCAGCAUCUGUCCGUGCGGUAGGACGGCCGCACCGCAACUCCCUCGCUCACACCAGCUGGUUCUUCGUGCCGCGCGCUCCGUGCGCCCAUGGAGGCUCGGGCUGCACUCAUCGCGGCGAAAAAGCUCCUGCGCUACCGUCCCGUCGACGACGUCUACGAAGAAUGGCUCGACCGCGUCGCUGAGCUCGUCCGCGCCGCAGGGGGCUCUCCUGCACCGUCCGUUCCGCUGCACCGCACCCCGCCCCGCAUGGGCAAUGAAGCUCCGGUGGCGCCCCGUCCGCCUCCUCCUCAGGAAGGCGCCAUGGAUCCAAGGCGCGUGGCCCCUGGGAGGAACCCGCUCCGUCAGGCGCCAGCGCAGCAAGAGCAGAGCUGUCAAGAAGUCCCUCGCCCGCAAGAAGCUGCCCGGGCGCUCCCUGCUCCAGCACGUCGCGACCAUCCUCCUGCUCCCGUGCGUCAAGACCCCGCGCUGCUCCUAGCUGCAGCGCAUGGGGACAUGCAAGACCAAGCUCCCCGUCACCCAAGGCCUCCCGUGGCCACAGCAGGCUGCUGCGCCUUCACCGCCGAGCUACGCAGCGUCGCGUGGCCGGCAAGUUCAAGCCAGACUUGCCUCCUCGCUACGACGGCACGGCUGACCCUGUGGAGUUCCUCCAGCUCUACGAGCUGGGCAUCAAAGCUGCCAACGGAGACGAGAAGGUCAUGGCGAAUUGGUUCCCCAUGGCACUCAAGGACGGGGCCCGCACCUGGCUCAUGAACCUGGCUCCAGGCACAAUCUCCUCCUGGGACGAGAUGCGCACCCACUUCAUCGCCAUCUUCUAAGGCACUCGCGACCGGCCACCCGCCGUGAGCGACAUGCGCCGCAUCAAGCAGCAGCCCGGGGAGACCCUGUAGAUGUACAUCCAGCGCGUCAACAACGCGCACCUCAAGAUUCCCAAGGUGACUGAGGAGGCCAUCAUCUCGGCCUUCUCCGACGGUGUGCGCGACGUCAAGAUGAAGGAGGAGCUGGCGAUGCAUGAAGACCUGUGCACUUCCCUGGAACUGUUCAACCUGGCAACCAAGUGCGCCAGGGCCGAGGAAGGGCGCCUCUCCCUCCUUGAGCUGCCUGCCACAGACCCAGAAGAGAAGAAGCCCAAGGCCAAGGAUGUGAAGCGCAAGGGGGCUGCCGUGCUCGCGGCAGAACCAGACAACAAGUGGGGCAGAGAUCAGCCCGAACCUUACAAGGGCAGCCGGUACUGUGUGUACCACGACCUCCACACCCACAACACCAACGAAUGUCAAGAGCUCCGAGCCGUGCGAGAAGGAAGGAUUGGCCGUCGCCCUGACUGCAGUGACCGGGGCUAUGGCCGAGGAGGAGGAAGGAACGCAGGACGCUGGGAAGACCAUGGCCCGCGCCAAGGGUGGCGCGAUCAACCUCGCGAGGAUCGUUGGCAAGACCCGCCUCGCGAGGGAGGCUGGAGAGAUCAGCCUCGCGAGAGAGACUGGAGGGAUCAGCCUCGCGAGGAUUGCCCACAAGGCAACGCAGGUCUCCCACCGCCGCCGCCGCAGCCAAGGAGAAAUGAGGACCGCCACCAGGACAAGGGUGCUGGGGACUUCCAGGAGCCGUGCGCGAUUGCUUGCAUCCUGGGCGGGGCACAAGCCCCAGCCUCUCAGCGCAUCUUCAAGCAGUUCGCCCGCGAAGUGAACGCAGUCCUCCCCAGGCUCGAAGCCACGCGCCCUCUCAGGUGGUUGGCAUGCGCCAUCACGUUCAGCUCAGCAGAUCAGCUCAAGUGUGCGGCUACAGCCGGAGUUCUCCCGGUGCUUUGUUCCCCAAUCAUCAGCAACAUGGUGGUCACCAAGACCCUCAUCGAUGGCGGUGCAGGGCUCAACGUCCUGUCCAUGGAAACAUUCAACAACCUCCAAGUGCCCUACAGCCAGCUUCAGCCAACCAAGCCUUUCUCCGGUAUCACCGACGGCUCCACGGCCCCGAUUGGGCAGGUCCGCCUCCCUGUCACCUUCGGGGCACGCAACAACUACCGCACCGAGCUCAUCGACUUCGACGUCGCUCACAUUCGCCUGCCGUACAACGCCAUCCUUGGGUACCCAGUUCAUGGCCGUAACUCACCAUGGCUACAACGUCCUCAAGAUGCCAGGAAGCGACAGAGUCAUCACGGUGCCAUGUGAAGAGAAGGACGCGGUGUGUUCCCUGGAACGGGCCUUUCAGGCCACGUCACUGGAAGACCCGGAUCGUGGGAGCAGGAGGCCUCCCGAGACCGCCCCUAAGAAGAACACAUCGUCCGGCCUGACCACUCAGGAGGCAGGCUCCUCUGGGCCCACGCCUGCCCAGGGGGAACCUCCUUCCAUCGCAUAGGAAAGCGCGCCCAGCACCCUCCUCAGGCAGGGCUCGGGGGCUCUCCCCUGGAGGGCCACCGACUUAGCUAGGGUCACGAGGGAGGCGCUUGGGCACCACAUGGAGGCGUGUUUUGAAGCACAUUUCCCUCAAGAAGGAGCAAGGCAAGGAGAUCCAGACCCUCAGGAGUUCGUCAGCAAGGCCAUUCAGGAGCUACAGGAGUCAAGAGUCAUGAAAGGCGGACGCCGCCUACCAGCAGUGGCUCCCCAUCCAGGCGAGGAUGGUGGGCUGCGCGUCUGCAUCGACAUACCACGGCUCAACCGAGUCGCCUCUAUGGAGCGCCUUUGGCCCUCGCGAGUGGGGCGCUGCGGAGGCCCACCCCACAGCUACGUACGCAUGCCUUUCGGCCUGCCGAACGCGGCUGACACGUACCAGCACCUCAUGAGGAGCAUCACGGAGGCACGAGAGGCAGGGUGUUCCGCAGCCCUGGCAGGGAUGGAGAUGGCCCGUGAGGAGCCGCCAGCGCCUCUGGAGCCUCCCGAGGCCCCUGGGCCUGGGGGCUCGUGAGGAUCGGCUCCCGCGGCCCACCAAGCCUGGUACAUCAACGCUCCUUCAUCCUCUACAUCAUCAGGUGACGUCUUUCAAGUUUUAUUUCCAGCUGGGAGCGCCCCCCUAGGGCUGCAUUAUUCCCAGGUCGCGUGGGUCCGUCCCUGCGGCGUGUAUCCCCAUUUUAUUCCAUGUUGUUAGCUUACCCUGUUGGGGGCGCCCCUCGGGCUGCAUGACCCCCCCCCCCCAAGUCGCUCGGGCCUGACCCAGUGAUGUCCGCAUUCCCGGCAUUUAUCUGAAUGGAUCCACUCCUUCGCGGCUAAUGUGUUUUACCUAGUUGCCUGCUCAGCUGACGCCAACUAACGGAGCUGCUCCCAAACGGCACGACGCUUGCACAUGGGUCCGUCCCUGCAACACCGACAAACCUGGAUGGCUGAGCUCUGCCGCAGCAGCCCCGCAUAGCGUCACCUCCUCAAGCCUUCAGUGCCUCACUACCCCUCGGAAACAACCAAAGGCUGACUGUCAAUUGUCAUGGCGACCCCUUGUUUUUUUCUAUGAUGGACCUGCAGGACCUCCUGAAGGAGCUGCGUCAAGCGAGGCCCUCGCGGUGUCUCCUUCGCUCUCAUCCGCGCAAACCGCUUGCACGUUAAAGGGGGGGUGCCUCAGCAUCGCGACUUAGGGCUCCUACUGGCUCUCCAGCCCUCACCCUCUGGCCUUGACCACGGCAUCGUGACCUGGCAUACCAGCGACGGCUGAGACUCGCUCGAGGGCCGGGACCCGAGGACGUAGAGCAGAAAGGGGAGUAAAGGCUAGAGGGGAGAGACACACGAGGACCUCGCCAAGCAACCUCGUGCGUGCCGAUGCAAGGACCCGGCAACACACUAGAGAGCGGCCCCUGAUCCUCGAGAUAAGUCAUCACCCGGAAGCACCAGCUGCCGUGGCACCAUCCCCGCACCUAAUGCUACCCCGUGUUAGUGACGCCGCUCUCCUUUCUCACCAAACGACGGCUGCUUGGGCGCAAAAGGGGACCUCCUGAGCAUCGCGACUCAGGAGCUCUUACCGGACUCCGGGUCGCUCACCUCCUGGCCUUGACCACGGCAUCGCGACCUGGCAUACCAGCGACGGCUAAAGCCGCCUUGGGACUGGGACCUGUCGGCGCAGAGCACCAAGCUCUCGUGAGGCUCAAAAGGGAGGACUGAGCUAAGAUGGAAUGAGCAACUCGCGCAAUUCUACGACAAGGAUUAUAUUAAUAAAACAGGAUCACAGGCACCUUACAAGCCCCCACGGGACGCAUUUUUGAUUCCUCGCAGGGAACAGAUCCUAAAGGGACACAAACUACGCGCGUCCCAACAAAAGACGCCAUCAUCAACAAUGGGCCGUCAAGCACCGACGCCAACCCCAUCCUGAUCAGGGUCGGCGGCGGCCUGACAAGCCCGCCCUGCUCUAGGAGCGGCGCCGGCUUGGGGGCUCGUAGCUAUCGUCGCUCGUCUCCGGAGUCGCGAAGAGCUCGCCGGAGUCGCUGGAACCUCCAACGCCUCCACCACCUGAGGAGCCACCAAGGGGGCGGUUGGCGGGCCCAGUCCUCGUCGCGGUAGGGACCUGGCCACCUUCCCCUGGGCAGCACUCCAGCCGGCGCCCGCUCGCAUCGAAGACCUUGAAGAGCAUCACCGAAGCACCGUCGUAAUCCAAGUGGACCGCGAAGACGCCCCUUACCCUGCAAACCCGGGCGAUCUCUCUCCAGCCCCGAGUCAGGUAGACCUCGCCCGGGGCAACGACCGCAACCUCUACCUCGGUCGCGAGGGUGCUGCACCCAGCGUGCUGCAGCCAGAGCUCCAGGGGCUCCCCCUGCGGGAUGAUGGAGGCGAAGAAGGGAGGAAGGCGGAUCCAAGACUGAAGAGGAAUGGCGACGUGAAGCACGAACUCUUGGGCGGAGCCCUCUGUGUGGACCCCAGGGGGGACGACCCACACCUUCGUGACCCGUCGGCACCGACGGCGGCGCCGCCCAUGGCGGUCAGCAUCAGCUCCUUCGGGGCCCUCGACGUGGGCGAACAAUGGCAGUGGGAACCCCGGCAGCACCCGCUCGCACCAAGGCCUCGACACCACCUGAAGGGACCCUUCGUCCGGGCCACGGGGGACGAGCCGUUUCUUCGGCGAGAGUGGGUCUGGUUCCUCUCGAGGAGCCUUUCCCUUCUCUGCCGUCGAGAACCGGCAGAUCGGAGCCAUCGCAGCAAGACGGAGCAAGGAUCGGGAAGAAGGAGAAGCAAGGGGAGAUGGACUGGAAGGGCGCGCGCUGUUCCGUACUUAUGGCCGGCGAGGGCCCACCGUCGACCUCCACGAUUGCAGGUAAUCAUGACCCAAUUUGCAUCCAGGGACUUGUCCAAUCCGUGCAGUUGCUGAGGCGCCAUGGGGAAGUGGAUGCGCCCAUGUCCAACCAACCGCCAUGCGGCGCCCAAGGCCGCAGGCUGUUAGGGCCUGCAGCGCUUCGCUCUUGCCCUUUCGCCUCCCUGCACGGCCAAGUCCGGGCGCGCCUUGGCCCGGGGGCUACUGUCGGCUUUCUGGGAAUGGGGGUCCCCAGACUUGCCUGCCUGCGGCCUGCGGCAUGGCUCAAAAGGGGGCCCAGCGCGGCCCAUCCUCACCAACACAAACCCAAGACCCUCGCGAGGGGCCAAGCCUCGCGGGGCGGACGACACAGAGCUUCCUCAGGCGCGGCCUCGUCAGGAUGGCUCACGAGAAGGCAGAGAGAUCAAGGCAGGGUACCUCACGAGGUGCCCGUGAUGCAAGCCAUGACGACCGGGGGCGCCAGGCGGGUGCCAGCCCGCGCAGCGUCCUUCCUUCCUCUUUGGUGAAAAGGUGGCAAGCGCAGCCGCGGAGUACCGAGGCAUCAGGCAAAGGUUGCCAUUUCGGUGCAACGAGACCAAGACUAGGAGGACUACGAGAUGGAGGUCACCGUGGAGCCCAAGACGGUGUCAUCACCAGAGCUUUGCACAGGCGAAGACUACUUUUGUCAGGGUAGCUAGUACUAGCUGUCCCCUUCAAAUUAGCCCGCCAUUGUUGGCUCCCUUCCCGCUCAAUAUUUGGGAAGAGGACCAGGGCCUCUAUAAAUAGGACCAGCCACCCACAGAGCAAAGGGGCCCGAUGGUUUGGAAGGAUAGAGAAGAUCAGAAAGAGAGAGAGAGAGAGAGAGAGAGAGAGAGAGAGAGAGAAAGGUGACUGAGCUCCUCCCAGCAGUUCAUCGCCCCAGCCAAGAGCAGACCCUCGCGAGGCUGUUCUUCCUUGUAUGGUUCUUCAUCAUUAGCCCAAGAGGCAAUCCACCACACCACACACUAGAGUAGGGUAUUACACCACAAUGGUGGCUCGAACCAGUAUAAACCCCGUGUCUCUUGUGUUGUCCUUUCCAUAGUUUAGAUCCUGGCAAGGCGGGGGGUGCAGGUAGGUAGGAGGCGAAAUCUCCGUGCGCACCCCAGUGUUCGAACCUCAAGGGUCUGCCGGAACCCGAAAUCCGAUAGUGGAUAAGUUCACCAAAUGGAUAGAGGCCAAGCCUGUUAAAACGGCUGAAUCCAGACCGGUGAUAGACUUCAUAUCCGGGGUCGUACACCAUUACGGCGUCCCCCACAGCAUCAUCACUGAUAACAGCACGAACUUUACGAUCGACGAGGUAAAACUCUGGUCCAAAAACAUGGGCAUCAAGCUCGACUAUGCUUCAGUCUAUCACCCACAAACUAACGGUCAGGUCGAGCGAGCAAAUGGUCUAAUCAUGAGUGGCAUCAAAACCAGGUUAGUGCGGUCCCUCAAGGAAUCUAACACGCACUGGGUAGAGGAGCUCGACUCCAUACUCUGGGGGCUGCGGACCACGCCGAACCGCACUACCGGAUACACACCAUUCUUCAUGGUAUAUGGUGCAGAGGCAGUUCUACCCUGCGACAUAAUUCAUGACUCACCUCGAGUGCGUGUGUACAAAGAAAGAGAAGCCGAGCUCGAUCCGCAGGACAGUUUGGACGCCUUGGAGGAGGAGCGUGACGUGGCAAAAGCCCGUUCUGCAUUCUAUCAACAACAGGCUCGAAGGUACCAAAGCAGAGAAGUACGGGCCAAAACUUACAAUGUUGGCGAGUUAGUUCUAUGCCUGCCGGAAAAGAAAAAGGACAAACUCAAGCCCAAGUGGGAAGGUCCCUUCAUUAUUAACCAAGUCCUGACUGGUGGAGCGUACCGUCUACGGGAUGCAUCGGAUAAUCGACUCGAGCCAAACCCAUGGAACGCAGCCCGACUCCGAAGAUUCUACGCCUAGCACCGGACUCUGUGUUUGUCUCCUUCCUUUGUCCAUUUUUUAUACACAAUCUGUCUUGUAUUUUUCUCCUUCUCCCCUUCUCUUCUCUCACAACCUUUAAAGUCCCAUUUGUGCCUUGUUUGCACGUAACUGACGUGCUAUCCACGCUCAUCAUACCUGGGGGCUUCUUUAAACGGAAGCUUAUUCAUACAGGCUUUAUGCCCAACACAUGUGUUAUCCUUCCACAUGUACCCUUUAUUCACCAUUAUAUGCAUCGAUAUGACUUAAGUUUUGGCCAAGCUGGGUUGCCUGGCUCUUGUAUUUAUGCCCUACGUUCCCGUUAAUUCGGCUAGGGCAUAAGGGGAGCACCUCUGCGAUUGUUACUGCCGGGUCAGCCGGAUGUGUACCUCUGACUGGGUGAAGCUGAAAGCUAGCGUUCUUAAGGGAAUAUUCGGUCGGUGAACUAAAGAUGAAUUUUCACUUAUUUACUUAUGCGCCCCAGAUGUUUUUUCUGCGUCUCUUUUCGCAAUCCGGACAUGCAAUUUAGGGCAUGCCUCCCAGGGAAAGGAACCCUUAACGGAACUAUUCUCCCUGGAAGAUGUUUCUUACUAACCAUGUAAUAUAACAUAACUAGUUGGGCACUUGUCUGUUUAAGCACUAAUGACCCCUACGCCUGGUUUCCAUGCAUGCCCCGGUUCUUACAUAACCGAGAGGGUAUUCAGAUACACUCUGGACCGUCGGGUCCCGAGGUUGAAGCAAAAAGGUCCGCCACGACAAACGAUCUACAAUCCGGCUAGAAGGCAUUAUACAUGUCACCUUCAAUUACAUAGUCAAUUUAACUGGGUAAAUUCCUCUUCAAUACCAUCCAAUAGGCUGUCUAAUUUACAGUCCUGUUGGGAAUACUUUGCGGCCAAUUCUACUUGGUCGUACACUAAGCUCACGGGGAUCUCCUUCCCAUCAGGCCCCACAGGUCCGACCUCGGCCAUGUGGUUUGGGUCAGCCUUCAUGUACCGCAUCUUCACCAUGGCCCAGGCUUCCUUGGCGCCCUGACGGCAGGCCGAUAUCUUCCAUAAUCGGAAGCACCGUCGCGCUCCCUUCAGCUUCUCUGCAAGCUCUCCAAGGCCUUCGGGCAUGGAGACGGAUGGCCACAAGGCCUGUGCGACGCCUUGCAUCACUUGCCGAACUCAUUCGUGUAGUUGUGCGAGCUCGUGAAGAAGGUCACCCGUAGAACCGGGCAUUUCCUCUGCAGGAUGACCUGUUAGCAUACCUACAGACAUAACUCUGUCAGCCAACUUCCUCGCCGAACUCUUUUUCAAAGUUCGUUCAAGCACUUACUAAAUAUGCCACGUCGAAGCCGCUGAUUCUCCUUAAUGGAGUCCGAUAGUUGGGCACGAACAUCUUUUAGUUCCACGCCCAGCUUGGUGUUGGCAUCUAGGAGAUCAUUCUUCUCCUGCCUCACCCUCGUAAGCACGCUCUCACCAGCCUUUAGCUAGCGUAGGAGCUGUUGCUUAUCCAGAUUUACUCCGGCAUCAUCUGCAAUUUUACCGUCAGAUCUGCAUAUACGCCGCACUUUAUAUGAUACUUAUCAUUUGAAGGAUAUAUUACCAGAGGGGGUCUCUUUGGGCUCCCCUGCUGCGGCUAGUGCGGUCUGAAGUUGGGCUUUGCACUCUUCCAGCUCUUGGGACAGUUGGGUAUUCUUUUCUGUAAGAACAUGCAUAACAAAUGAUCCUUAAAUCAGUUAUUCUAACUGUUUCAAGUCUCAGGGGCUACUGAUAUAUAUAAUCACCAAAUUUUCUCACCUGUAUGUCUUUUACAUACUGCUCUGUGGCUCUGGCUAGACCACUUUGAGCGGCACGGAGGUACGCAUCUCCCGAGUUGAAGGCAUCCAAUGCCUCUUGGGAGAAACAAGCAUCACGAAGAACAGUCUGGCGACGCCUGUGGUUCAUGGCACUUUCCACCUCGGAAUUGGUGGCGGACAGUCUGUCUGCAUCCUCUGUCGGAGGAGCGCCCGGCGCACGCCUCGUAUCCGUUCCCGCCUCCGAAUCCGUCCUUGGAGCAUGGCUGGUGGAGGCACGAUUAGUAGCCUCUCUGGAUAUAGUCCGGCGAGCGCUCUUUUUCCUAAAAAGAAGGCAUGGGCGUUAGUAUGCCUCUAAGAAUAAUAUCUUGGAAUAAAGACGACGCGCUGUACCACUGCAUCGGUGUCUCAAUCCGGACUGCGUGUCUUUUCAGCUUGCCUGGCCUCGCGGCCCCUUGUUGGCUAGUCGACGCAGGCUCGGCCUUCCGCCUCGAGGACCUCCCCUGCAAAACACAGUUGUUAUACGAUAAUCAAAACCACGCAAGGACGGAUCCCUUUUCAAAGUGCUGGGACUUCGGUCUCAGUUACCUGUGAGGCUGGAAGUAGCCCAGGGUAAUCGGCCAUAAUGGCCACCAAGGCGUUGUCAUGGCUCAAUUGAUAAAAUACCCCAUCGAUCAGCUCCAUAGAUAUGUCCGGAUCCUCUUGGGAGGCCGGGUCAAGGGACCAUUCUGGGUCCUCGGGUUGUGGAGGAGGGUUGUUUAUCUCCCUUACAGCCUGGCGCAGCUCCUGCGUUGAAAUCGCUAGACUGAAUACUUAACUAUGGGAAUAUGAAACGGAUGGGCGAGAAAGAGUGUCCGCUUACCCAGCUCGGAGGAUUGUACAUAGAAAAUCCGCCCUGCGGGUUGUCGCGGAGGAAUUCCUCCUCUUCUCCCUUGUACAAAGUGGAUAAGAUCUUUAUUAGAGCAGCAACUGAUUCCGGCCCUUUACGGCUGCAGCGGGUGACGUCAUCCUCCCCGUUGAAAUCCCACAUGGGGUGGCCUCUAUACUGAACCGGCUGCACCCCCCGCAUAAUGCAUGUGGCCAUGACCUCGAUCGUGGUCAAGAUCGAGGUAACAAACUUAUCCGGUUCAUCAGGUAAAGAACAUCCCUUUCAUCAUCAUCCUAGGGUCUCCGUGGACACCAGCUCCGGCGCUUCUUCAAAGGAGCGUUGUCGAACUCAGGGAGGACGAUUCGAAUAGGGUCCGAGAGGGGGACGUCUUCUAUAUAAAACCAUUCUGAAGGCCAGUCUUCGGACGUCUUCUUUGCGGUUCCGGAUAGAUAUCCAGUCCCGGCAAUACGCCACACUUCGGCUCCGCCCACUUGAUAUAUUGACCCCUCCUGAGAACGGGGCACAAGGCAGAAUAGCUUCUUCCACAAUGCGAAAUGAGCCUCACAGCCCAAAAACAGCUCGCAAAGGGCUACGAAGCCCGCGAUAUGCAAUAUGGAGGCAGGCGUAAGGUUGUGCAACUAGAGGCCAUAGAACUCCAGGAGCCCCCGGAGAAACGGAUGAAUUGGAAAUCCGAGCCCUCUUACCAAAUGAGGGACAAGGCAUAUCCGCUCUCCCUUGGAGGGAUUGGGAAGGCUCUCCGCUUGCUCUCCGCCAUUGUAGGUGGCGAGCCCGGCUCGAACCGGGACCAUGUAUGCUGGGGGAAGAAAUCCCUUGGUCUGAAGCAUCACUAAUUUGCUGUGCGGGACGGAACAUCUCUCCCAAUCUCCAGGCUUGGGGCAAGGGGAGCGAGAGGAGGAGCUGCGUCGACCGGCCAUGAUGGAAUGGGUCUCUGUCGGGUGCGCUCCGAUGAAGGCUCGCCAAGGGAGGAUGGUGUGAUUUGGAUCUGAAUCCUUGUCUCUUUAAUAGGAAGCUCAUUCACACAGCUAGGGGGUAAAUGUAAAAACAUCCCUUUUCACAUUCGCUCGACACGUGGAAAGUGGCUGUUAUUGGGCGUGGAAGCCAAGGAGCGCAACAUUCACAAGAAGUCGGACACUAUUUCAACAGAUACACGGAAUUUGGAGAGGAACCCGCCUUGCAAUGCCGAAGACAAUCUGCGCGCCGGACUCGUCAUCAUUGAAGCCUGGUUCGGGGGCUACUGAGGGAGUCCUGGAUUAGGGGGUGUCCGGAUAGCUGGACUAUAACCUUUGGCUGGACUCUCAGACUAUGAAGAUACAAGAUUAAAGACUUCGUCCCAUGUCCGGAUGGGACUUUCCUUGGCGUGGAAGGCAAGCUUGGCAAUACGGAUAUGUAGAUCUCCUCCCAUUGUAACCGACUCUGUGUAACCCUAGCCCUCUCCGGUGUCUAUAUAAACCGGAGGGUUUUAGUCCAUAGGACGAACAUACAAUCAUACCAUAGGCUAGCUUCUAGGGUUUAGCCUCUCUGAUCUCGUGGUAGAUCUACUCUUGUACUACCCAUAUCAUCAAUAUUCAUCAAGCAGGACGUAGGGUUUUACCUCCAUUAAGAGGGCUCGAACCUGGGUAAAACAUUGUGUCCCCUGCCUCCUGUUACCAUCCGGCCUAGACGCACAGUUCGGGACCCCCUACCCGAGAUCCACCGGUUUUGACACCGACAGUCUUCGUUCAUAUCGAUCAUCCCUACUCCUCUCCCUUGAUGGUGAUUCUUCUCUUCUACUUCUUCUUUUGGGAGAAUCUUCUCUUCUCUUGUGGGGAGCCGUACACUCAUUGGAGUAGUGCCCGGGUCUUCGACAAUUGUAGCAGUUUCGCUCUCGACAAGAAGACCAUUUGUCAUUGUAGGACCUUGACUUGGAACUUCUCUCUUUGCUUCUAUUCUUGUAGAACUUGUUGAAGUUCUUCACCAUUAAGCUCAAUUCUUCAUUGAAGGUUUGUUUAUCACUUGAUGAUGUGGGGGCUUCACAUGAGGCUUUGUAAGCACCACUUGACUUGUUAUGGAGCUCCUCCUUAUCCUUGAGUGACAUCUCAUGAGCAACAAUUCUUCCAAUGACUUCCGUUGGCUUGAGAUCUUUGUAAUUUGGCAUCAUUUGGAUCAAUGUACAUAUGGUAUCGUAUUUUCCAUCCAAGGCUCUUAGGAUCUUCUUGAUGAUGAAUUUGUCGGUCAUCUCUUCACUUCCUAGGCCGACAAUCUCAUUUGUGAUAAGAGCAAGCCUAGAGUACAUUUCAGCAAAACCUUCACCAUCCUUCAUUUUGAACUUGUCAAGUUGACUUUGAAGCACAUCCAACUUGGAUUCCUUGACGGAGUCAGUACCUUCGUGCAUAUCAACCAAAGUAUCCCAAAUUUCCUUUGCAUUCUCAAGACGGCUGAUUUUGUUGAAUUCUUCGGGGCACAAUCCGUUGAAGAGGAUAUCACAAGCUUGAGCGUUGUAUUGCAGCAUUUUCAUCUCUUCCGCGGUGGCUUCACGAUUCGGUUCUCUCCCAUUAAAGAAUCCACCUUGGAAGCCAACACACACAAUAGCCCAAACGGCAGGGUUAUGUCCAAGAAUAUGCAUUUUCAUCUUAUGCUUCCAACUAGCUAAAUUAGUGCCAUCAAAGUAAGGACCUCUAUGGUGGUAAUUUCCCUCGCUAGACGACAUACUCUCCUAGGUUGUGAAACCAAGGCUAUGACCACCAAAAGCUAUGGAAAUCAAAGCAAAUGGAGACCAAAGCUCUGAUACCACUUGUAGGACCGAAAGUAUGUCUAGAGGGGGGGUGAUUAGACUACUUGAAUUAUUAAUAAUCUAUCCUUUUCCCAAUUUUAGUCUUUGGCAGAUUUUAUCUAUCUUAGCACAAGUCAAUCAAUCUUAACACAAUUCAAGCAAGCAUGCAAAGAGUCUAUGAGCAGCGGAAAGUAAAGCAUGCAACUUGCAAGAAUGUAAAGCGAAGGGUUUGGAUAAUUCAAACGCAAUUGGAGACACGGAUGUUUUUGUCGUGGUUCCGAUAGGUGGUGCUAUCACAUCCACGUUGAUGGAGACUUCAACCCACGGAGGGUAACGGUUGCGUGAGUCCAUGGAGGGCUCCACCCACGAAGGGUCCACGAAGAAGCAACCUUGUCUAUCCCAUCAUGGCAAUCGCCCACGAAGGACUUGCCUCACUAGCGGUACAUCUUCAUGAAGUAGGCGAUCUCCUUGCCCUUAAAAACUCCUUGGUUCAACUCCACAAUCUUUGUCAGAGGCUCCCAAGUGAAACCUAGCCAAUCUAGGAGACACCACUCUCCAAGAAUUAACAAAUGGUGUGUUGAUGAUGAACUCCUUGCUCUUGUGCUUCAAAUGAUAGUCUCCCCAACACUCAACUCUCUCUCACAGGAUAUGGAUUUGGUGGAAAGAAGAUUUGAGUGGAAAGCAACUUGGGGAAGGCUAGAGAUCAAGAUUCAUAUGGUGGGAAUGGAAUAUCUUGGCCUCAACACAUGAGUAGGUGGUUCUUUCUUAGAAAAUGUGUAUUGGAAGUGUAGGUAUGUUCCGAUGGCUCUCUCCACGAAUGAAGAGGGGGUGGAGGGGUAUAUAUAACCUCCACACAAAAACUAACCGUUACACACAAUUUACCAAUCUCGGUGAGACCGAAUUGAGAAACUCGGUCGGACCGAUUUAGCAAACCUAGUGACCGUUAGGAUUUUCAGUGGGACUGAGAUGCAACUCAGUAGGACCAAUAUGGUUAGGGUUAGGGCAUAACAUAAUCUCGGUGUGACUAAUUACACAAACUCGGUGGGACCGAUUUUGGUAAUAAGCUAACCAGAGAGUUGGUCAGGUAAACUCGGUGGGACCGAUCGCUCAUUUCGGUGGGACCGAAAUGUUAUAAAAGAAAACAGAGAGUUUACAUUGCAAUCUCGGUGGGACCGAUCGCUCAUCUCGGUAGGACCGAAACAUUACGAAGUGAAACAGAGAGAUUACAACCCCAUCUCAGUGUGACCGAAAUCCAUAUCGGUGAGACCGGUUUGCGUGGGGUUUGUGGCAGUGGCUAUGACAUCUGAAACUCGGUGGCGCCGGAUAGAAAGAAUCGGUGGGACUGAGUUUGACUUUGGGUUUAGGUCAUAUGUGGAUGUGGGAAGGUAGUUGAGGGUUUUGGAGCAUAUCACUAAGUACUAUGAAGCAAGAACCUCAUUAAACAACACCUCAUCCCUCCUUGAUAGUAUUGGAUUUUCCUAUAGACUCAAUGUGAUCUUGGAUCACUAAAAUAUAAAAUGUAGAGUCUUGAGCUUUGAGCUUGAGCCAAUAUUUUUGUCCCUAGUAUUUUGAGGGGUCCACAUUCCUCAUCCAUGCCAUGCCAUUCAUUGAGCUUUUCCUGAAAUAUUAAUCUUGGAAUAGCAUUAGCUCAAUGAGGUAUAUGUUGUUAGGAAUUACCAAAACCACCUACGGAUAGUUGCACUUUCAACUGAAUAUAUCUAAUGGGGCACGUUGCAUGAAAUCAAAAAAAAAUUCUAUGGAACACCCAAGAACUAAUCUAAGAGAUGCAUAGCAACGAGAGGGUGUCUACAUACCCUUGUAGACCGAAAGCAUUAGCAUCGUAACAUGGUUGAUGUAGUCGUACUCAUCACGAUCCAAUCAUGAACCAAUCUGAUCUAGUGCCGAACGGACUGUGCCUACAAGUUUAGCACACAUACGGCUCGGCUGCAUCCUCUCUUGCUUGAUCCAGUAAGAGACGGAGAGGAGGUAGAUGAUAUCUGAACCAACACGAUGACAUGGUGGUGGUAAUGGAAGCGGAACACCGACGAAGCUUCGCCAAGCGCUGACCGAUCAAGGUGGAGGCUUAUCGGGAGAGAGAGGAGGCUUGGGUUUGGUGUGUCCAGUCCUUGCACUCCUCCCCACUAUAUAUAGGGGUGUGGGAGGGCUGGGGCGCAGCCCUAUCCCCUCCUUCAAGGUGGGGAGGCGUCCAAGGGAGGAGGAGUACCCUCCAAGCCAAGUGGAGGGCCUCCCCCUUAGGGUUUCCUUUCCCCUAGGCACAUGGGCCAAGUAGGGGCUGGUGUGCCUAGCCGAAUAUGGCCAGGGUGCUCCCUAGAGACCAUGCUACUGUUCGAGACAUGGUGAAAUCUUCCAAGGACUUUCGGACCCCUCCGGAACCUUCUAGAACCUUCCAGUGACUUCCCGGUACAAUACCGAAAAAAGGACUUUUUCCCGGAACUCCGACAACAACUUUCCAUAUAUAAAUCUUUACCUCCAGACCAUUCUGGAGUUUCUCGUGACGUCUCGGAUCCCAUCCGGGACUCCGAAAAACCUUUGGACUUUCCACUAUUAAUAUCUCAAUACUACCCCAGCACUACCAAACGUUAAGCGUGCGACCCUACGUGUUCGAGAACCAUGUAGACAUGACCGAGACUCCUCUCUGGUAAGUAACCAAUAGCGGGACCUGGUUGCCCAUAUUAUUUUCCACAUAUUCCAUGAAGAUCUUUAUCGGUUCAACUACGAUGUCACGGAUUCAGUUAAUCCCGUAUACAAUUCCCUUUGUCCGGCAAUAUGUUACUUGCCCGAGAGUUGAUCGUCGAUAUCUCCAUACCUAGUUCAAUCUUGUUACUAGCAAGUCUAUUUACUAAUUCCGUAAUACAAGAUACCAUGACUAAACUCAUUAGUCACAUUAUUGCAAGCUUCUUGUGAUGUUGUAUUACCUAGAGGGCCCAAAGAUGUCUCUCAGUCUUACGGAGUGACAAAUCCCAGUCUCGAACUAUGCCAACCCAACAAACACAUUCGGAGAUACCUAUAGAGCACCUUUAUGAUCACCUAGUUACGACGUGACGUUUGGAUACACACCAAGUAUGCCUUUGGUGUUAGGGAAUUUCACGAUCUCAUGGUCGAAGGAACAAAGAAUUGAUAUGAAGAAAGCUGUAGCAAAUAACUAAGCGAUACGAUCUGUUGCUAAGCUUACGAUUGGGUCUCGUCCAUCACAUCAUUCUCCUAAUGAUGUGACCCCUAUCAAAUAACAACUCAUGUCCAUGGUUUGGAAACCUUAACCAUCUUUGAUCAACGAGCUAGUCUAGUAGAGGCUUACUAGGGACACGGUGUAGUUUAUGUAUAUAUAUUCACACAUGUAUUUAUGUUUCCGAUCAAUACAAUUCUAGCAUCCUUUCUCUUUCUUCUGUCGUGGUCAACUUUGAGUCUUACUCAACUUCACACCUUAUAAUACAUAGGAAAGAACUCCGUCUUUCACUGAUCUAUUUUGAACUCCUUCAAAAUCUUGUCAAACAAUGUGCUCUGUGAAAGUCUUAUCAGGCAUCUUGAUCUAUCUCUAUAGUUCUUGAUGCCCAAUAUGUAAGCAGCUUUACCUAGGUCUUCCUUUGAAAAACUCCUUUCAAAUAACCAUUUAUGCUUUCUAGAAAUUCUACAUCAUUUCCAAUCGACAAUAUGUCAUCCACAUAUACUAUCAGAAAUGCUAUAGAGCUCCCACUCACUUCCUUGUAAAUACAAGUUUCUUCAUAAACUUCGUAUAACCCCAAAAGCUUUGAUCACCUCAUCAAAGUGUAUAUUCCAACUCCAAGAUGCUUGCACCAUUUCAUAGAUGGAUUGCUGGAGCUUGCAUACCAUUUUAGCAUCCUUAGGAUCCACAAAACCUUUGGGCUGCAUAUAUAUAUUUGUUCCUUAAGGAAAGCGGUUUUCACGUGCAUCUGUCAUAUUUCAUAAUCGAAAAAUGCAGAAAUUGCUAACAUAAUUCUAACAUAUUUAAGCAUCGCUACGGGUGAGAAAAUCUCAUCAUAGUCAACUCGUUGAACUUGCCAAAAACACUUUGCGGCGAGUCGAGCUUUGUAGACAGUGACAUUACCAUAAGCGUAUAUCUUCUUCUUAGAGAUCAAUUUGGUCUCGAUGGCCUGUCAGUCAUCGGGCAAGUCUACCAAAGUCCACACUUGGUUCUCAUACAUGGAUCCUAUCUCGAAUUUCAUGGGCUCUAGCCAUUUGUCAGAAUCCAGUCCCAUAUCCCUUCCUCAUAGUUCGUAUGCUCAUCGUUGUCUAUCCACAUGACUUCCAUGAUAGGAUGACCGUACCACUCAGGGCACUAUGUGUCCUUGUCGACCUACGAGGUUCAGUAGUGACUUGAUCUGAAAUUCAUGAUCAUCAUCAGUAGCUUCCUUUUCAAUUGGUGUAUGCAUCACAUGAACACCUUUCUGCGAUGCGCUUUUCCAAUUCAAGUGAAGGUUUGAUAACCUCAUCAAGUUCUACCUUUCUCCCACUCACUUCUUUCGAGAGAAAACUCCUUCUCUGGAAAGGAUCCAUUCUUGAAAACAAAGACUUGCCUAUUCUAUGAAGGCAUAAGUGUUGCAUCCCCAAACUUUAAGAAAUGACAACAUAGGUUUCUUGCCGGACCAUAGUUCAUACGGCGUCGUCUCAAUGGAGUUGAUGGUGCCCUAUUUAAAGUAAUGUUAUUUUCUCUAAUGCAUAGCCCCAAAACUAUAGUGACAACUUGAUAAGAGACAUCAUAGAAUGCACCAUAUCCAAUAGAGUAUAGCUACGAUGCUCGGGCACACCAUUAUACUCUGGUGUUCCAGGUGGCGUGAGUUGUGAAACAGUUUUCACGUUGUCUUAAAUACAUAUACCAAACUCGUAACUCAGAUAUUCACCUCCACGAUCAUAUUGUAGACAUUUCCUAUUCUUGUCACAAUUAUCUUCAACUUCACACUGAAAUUUCUUGAACUUUUCAAAAUUUCACACUUGCGUUUCAUCAAGUAAAUAUACAUGUAUCUACUCAAAUCAUCUGUGAAGGUAAGAUAAUAAUGAUAUUUGCCGCAUGUUUCAACACUCAUCGGACCACAUACAUUGGUAUGUAUUGUUUCCAUCAAGUUACUUGCCUGCUCCAUUGUACCACAAAAUGGGCUUUUAGUCAUCUUGCCCAUGAGGCAUGGUUCACAUGUUUCAAAUGAUUCAUAAUCAAGUGAUCCAAAAGUCCAUUGCAUGGAGUUUCUUCAUGCGUUUCACACCAAUAUGACCUAAGAGGCAGUGCCGUAAAUAUUUGGUACUAUCAUCCUUAACUUUGCAUCUUUUGGCAUCAAUAAUAUGAACAUGUGUAUUACUACGUUCGAGAUUCAAAAAGAAUAAACCAUUCACAUUGGGUGUAUGACCAUAGAAGAUAUUAUCCAUAUAAAUAGAGCAACGAUUAUUCUCCGACUUAAAUGAAUAAUCGUCUCGCAAUAAACAAGAUCCGGAUAUAUUAUUUAUGCUUAACACAUGCACCAAAUAACAUUUAUUUAGGUUUAAACUAAUACCGAUGGCGAUCAUAUCAACCUUGGAGACACUUCCAACAUGCAUUGUCACCUCAUCCUUAGCUAGUCUCCGUUUACUCCGUAUCUUUUGUUUCGAAUUACAAAUAAGAGCAACCGAACUAGUAUCAAAUACCCAGGCGCUACUAUGAGCACUAGUAUGUUACACAUCAAUAACAUGUAUAUCAAAUAUACCUUUGUUGACGUUGUCAGCCUUCUUAUUUUCCCAGUACUUAGGGCAGUUCCUCUUCCAAUGACCAUUCCCCUUGCAAUAGAAGCACUCAGUCUCAGGUUUGGGCCUAGCCUUGGGUUUCUUCACUGGAGCAGCAACUGCCUUGCCAUUCUUCUUGAAGUUCCCUUUCUUUCCCUUGCCCUUCUUGAAAAUAGUGGUCUAAUUGACCGUCAACACUUGAUGAUCUUUCUUGAUUUCUACCUCCACAACCUUAAGCAUCACAAAGUGCUCAGGGAUCAUCUUGCCCAUCCCUUUAUUAUUAUAUUUCAUCACAAAGCCCGUGUAGCUUGGUGGUAGUGACUGAAGAACUCUAUCAAUCACUACUUCAUCCGAAAGAUUAACUCCCAACUAAUUCAAGCGGUUGUAGUACCCAGACAUUUUGAGUACAUGCUCACUAAUUGAGUUAUUCUCCUCCAUCUUGUAGCUAAAGAACUUGUCGGAGGUGUCAUACCUCUCAAUCCAGGAGUGAGCCUGAAAUGCCAAUUUCAACUCCUAGAACAUCUCACAUGGUCUGUGGUGCUCAAAACGUCUUUGGAACCCCAGUUCUAAGCCAUAAAACAUGGCGCACUGAACUAUCGUGUAGCCAUCAAUUCAAGUCUGCCAGACGUUCAUAGCAUACAGAUUUUCAGGAGCAGGUGGUUCAGCUAGCGGUGCAUCAAGGACAUAAGCCUUUUAUGCAGCAGUGAGGACAAUUCUGAAAUUACGGACCCAGUCCUCAUAGUUGCUUCCAUCAUCUUUCAACUUUUCUUUCUCUAGGAACACAUUAAAAUUUUGGGGAGCUAUAGCGCGAGCCAUUGAUCCACAACAUAAUUUGCAAAUAUAUUUAGACCAUGUUCAUGAUAAUUGGUUUGGUUAAUCAAAUUACUAGUGAACUCCCACUUAAAUCAACAUACCUCAAGUUGUCUAAGUAUUACAUGACCCAAAUCAAGUACCCAUGUCUGAUCAUCACGUGAGAUGGGGUCGUCAUCAAUGGUGAACAUCUCCAUGUUGAUCAUAUCUACUAUAUGACUCAUGUUCUACCUGUUGGUCCUCCAUGUUCUAAGGCCAUGUUUGUACAUGCUAGGCUCAUCAAGUUUAACCAAAGUAUUACGUGUGUGUAAAACCGGCUUACACCCAUUGUAUGUGAACGUAGAGUCUAUCAUACCCGAUCAUCACAAGGUGCUUCGAGAUGACAAACUUUUGCAACGGUGCAUACUUAGGGAGAACGCCUUUUAUCUUGAAAUUAAGUGAAGGAUCAUCUUAUAGCGCUACCGUCAUCCUAAGAAAAAUAAGAUGCAUAAAAAGAUAAACAUCACAUGCAAUCAAUAUAUGUGACAUGAUAUGUCCAUUAUCAUCUUGUGCUUUUGAUCUCCAUCUCCAAAGCACCGGCAUGAUCUCGAUUGUCACCACAUCACACCAUGAUAUCCAUCAUUGUGUCGUCAUCUUGGUUGUCUCCACCAACUAUUGCUUCUACAACAAUUGCUAACGCAUAGUGAUAAAGUAAGGCAAUUACAUGGCAUUUAUUGAUUUACACACAGGUUAUAAAAUAAAUUAAAGACAAUCCUAUCGCUCCUGCCGGUUGCCACACUCAUCAACAUGCAAGUCGUGAACCUAUUACAAAACAUGAUCAUCUCAUACAUCAACAUAUAUCACAUCACGUUUAGGCCAUGCCACAUCACAACAUGCCCUGCAGAAACAAGUUAGAUGUCCUCUACUUUGUGGUUGUAAUUUUUACGUGGCUGCUAGGGAAAACUAUAAGAACUGUUCUUAUCUACGCAAAACCACAAUGGUGAUACACAAGUUUCCUUUUAACCUUCUACAAGGACCGCCCUCGUCAAAUCAGAUUCAACUAAAGUGGGAGAGACAGACACCCACAAAGCCACUUUUAUGCAAUACAAGUUGCGUGUCAAACAGUGGAACCGGUCUUAUGUGUGUGGACAUGUAAGUAUGGUCCGAGCCGCUUAAUCCCACAAUACCCCUAAAUCCAAAUAAGACAAGGGAAGUAAGCAAUUUGAACAACAACAAUCACAAUAUGUCUUCUACUCGUGCAUAUACAUCUAUGCAUAGACCUAGCUCAAGAUGCUACUGAUGGGGAACGUUGCAUGAAAAUCAAAAAAAUCCUACAAAACACCCAAGAUCUAAUCUAGGAGAUGCAUAGAAACGAGAGGUGGGUGUAUCUACGUACCCUUGUAGACCGAAAGCAUUAGCACCAUAACACGGUUGAUGUAGUCGUACUCGUUGCGAUCCAAUCACGAUCCAAUCGGAUCUAGUGCCGAACAGACGAUGCCUCCAAGUUUAUCACACGUACGGCUCGAUAGUGUCCUCUCUUUCUUGAUCUAGCAAGCGAGGGAGAGGAGGUAGAUGAAAUCUGAACCAAUGAUACAUCCAUUUUGCAUCAUGUUUUUAUGUUGAUAUUUAUUGCAUCAUGGAUUGUGAUUACACUUUAUGAUACAAUUCUUAUGCCUUUUCUCUCUUAUUUUGCAAGAUUUGCAUGAAGAGGGAGAAUGCUGGCUACUGGAAUUCUGGACCGAAAAGGAGCAAAUCUGAGAUCCCUAUUCUCCACAACUACAAAUGUCCUGAAACUUUACGGAGAAUUUUUCUGGGAUAUAUAAAAAUAUUGGGUAAAGAAACUUCAGGAAGGGACCCACCAUGUGGCCACAAGCCUGGGGGCAGGCCAUACCCCCCAGGGAGCGCUCUCUGAGCUUGUGGUCCCCCUGGCCAUCCUCCGGUGCAACCGGUGAAUUAUCAACAAUAGGUUACAAAAUUAGGCUAUGCAUGAGAAUAGGAGCUAUCAAAUAACACUAGCAAAAUCUAAUGCAAGCACGAGAGGGAAAGAAUGGGCGAUAUAUGAAUGAUCAAGGGGUUUUUGAUUUCCUGGAAGCUCUGCGGCAAGGAGCUGGACAUCUGGAGUGUGGUCGUACACAGCGGCCUCAGCAUCAGUCUCGGGGUCUACCAGAGAAGAAGAGGGGGAAGAAACAGUAAAUAUAAAGCACACAUAUGAAACACGAUGCAUGCCAUGGUAUUAUGCAUUGCUAGGGGUGACCUAAUGUAGUGCUAAGUGUUAUAGAAGGAACGGGAAAAUAUCUAGAAAUUUUUUCCUGGCUCUGGGCAUUUAUCAGUCAGACAAUUCCAAGGGGAAGGUUUCAUGUUUGCAGUGUUGGGGGCAUGUGACAAGUAUGUGGAUGGCAUAUUCAGAUUCGUCUUAUUUUUCUGAUUAUUUUUCAUAUAUAAAUUAUUUUCAUCCGAGUUAUGGUUUAUUUUAUAAGAGUUUUCAACGUUUAAAUGAAUUUCUGGAUUUUCUAGAACUAUUAUUAAAUCAAAUUAUAAACAUAAUAUAGCUUUUAUACCUACUAUGGGCUAGCCAUGGUGCAUGACAUGUGGGGCCAGGGUCAACCGUUGACCUAGUCAUCGGCAUAGUCAGUAGUCAACUUCAUUGACUGUCGACUGAUCAAAUAUGACAGGUGGGGCCCCUCGGUCAUUGACUAGCACCUUAACUAAAUUACUAAACGUGUUUAAUUAGAGUGUUGGGCCACUAGUCAUACACACAGGGGUCAUUACUGAGGGGAUUAGUGCCUAAACUAAUUAGUUCGGCCCCAUGUGGCAGUGACAUAGCUAGCUUUGGCCGCGGCUGUGCACACACGCACAGAGGCGUCGAGGGCCAUCGAUGGCAACGGCGAACCAGGAGCGGCUAGCAUUGGGCGAGUGUGGGGCAGAAGCAGUGGCGGUUGAGGGAGUCCUACACUAAGGGGUCCUCGGGCGUCCGACCUAUUAGACAUGGGCCGGACUGAUGGGCUAAGAAGAUACGAACGCCGAAGACUCCACCUGUGUCCGGGUGGGACUCUCCCUGGCGUGGAAGGCAAGCUUGGCAUCCGAAUAUGAAGAUUCCUUUCUUUGUAACCGACCUUAUGUAACCCUAGAUCCCUCCGGUGUCUAUAUAAACCGGAGGGCUAGGUCCGUAGAGGGAUCCGGAUAAUCAUAGUCAGACAGGCUAGACUUCUAGGGUUUAGCCAUUACAAUCUCAUGAUAGAUCACCUCUUGUAAUACUCAUAUUCAUCAAGACCAAUCAAGCAGGAAGUAGGGUAUUACCUCCAUAGAGAGGGCCCGAACCUGGGUAAACAUUGUGUCCCUUGUCUCCUGUUACCAUCGACCUUAGCCGCACAGUUUGGGACCCCCCACCCGAGAUCCGCCGGUUUUGACACCGACAUUGGUGCUUUCAUUGAGAGUUCCACUAUGCUGUCGUCAAAAGGUUUGAUGGGUCCUUCAAUCAUCUACAAUGACGCUGUCCAAGGGGAAGUCUUCCUCCCCGGACAGACCUUCAUGUUCAGCAGCUUCGCACUGCGGGCCAACUCGGUUGGCCAUCUGGAGCAGAUCGAAAGCUACGCCCCUGGCCAUCAGGUCAGAUUUGGAAGCUUGAACCAUGCCGCGAAUAUCCGUGUUGAUCUUCGACGGAUUCAAGACCACGGCAGCCGCUCCCUGCCACCACGAUGAACAUGACGUAAAUCCGUCAUCGGUCCAUACCCAGGAGAUAGUACCUGUAGCUUCUCUAGCCCUAGAUCCGGAGCAGAUCGCGCCAUCCGAAGACGGGAAGCUCAACCCCGCUGCGGAAGCCGCAGACCCAACGACAUUGGAGCCGCACACAUACCUAACUUCAAGUGACAUCUGUGUCACCGGAACCAUGGACUCGUCUCCGGCUACAGGUUCUGAACCUUGUACGUCCGCAUACGCCGAGCUUGAUCGACCAUCGAUCGCCGAAUUCAGCUCCGCGGACAUCUUCUGGCACUCACCUUUGAGAGAUGUGUUAAACUCGUUCAGAGCACUAUCCUUAGCGGGGGGCUCACCGCCAAAUUAUAUCUGGUUCGAACUAGAGGCUGAUGACGGAGAAUUUAGCUUCCCACCCACCGCCCACUUCAUAGCCACUGUCAAAGACUUAACCGACAUGCUCGAUUAUGGCUCCGACGACAUCGACUAUCACAUCCCUAGUUCUGGUAUGACCUAGGCUAGCCUUCAUGUUGCAUCAUGUUUAAAUUUCAUUGAAAUUUGAAAUGGGGAUUUGUGAAACCCCUCGGAAUCAUUUCUAGAAAUAACCUGGAUAAAAAAAUUGCUCCAAAAAGGUCCAAGAAAAUGUUCAUGUAGCUCUCAGAAAAUAUUGGUUAGAGGUAAAAUUCAAACAAAUAUUUUCAGGAGCUUAUAAGUAUUUAUUUUGACCUUUUGGAAUUAAUGCAAUAAUUAUUUGCAUUGGAUAUAUAUAUGUUAUAUAUAUAUAUAAUAUAUGUCCAAAACUUAUGCUUGUUGUUGAGGAGCUCUGGAAUAAUACCAUUAGCUCCUACAAAAAUUGGCAUAAGAAAAUAAAUUAGUUUAGUACUAAUUUUAAGUAGAAACAAAUGUGAGAAAAUAGAAAACAAAACAAAAUAGAAAGAAACUUACCUGCGGCCAGCUCCUGUGCUGACCCAGCACUGUGCAGCCUGGCUGGGCUGGCACCAUUAGCUCCUACAAAAAUUGGCAUAAGAAAAUAAAUUAGUUUAAUAUUAAUUUUAAGCAGAAACAAAUGUGAGAAAAUAGAAAACAAAACAAAAUAGAAAGAAACUUACUUGCGGCCAGCUCCUGUGCUGACCCAGCACUGUGCGGCCUGGCCGGUCUAGUUGGCCAGCCCAGCCCACCUGCCCCCCUCCCCUGUCGUCUUCCUCCCGCCAGGAGGACGCGUGCGUGGCCGCCGCGUGCGAGCACACGCCGGCCACCUCCUGCUUCCCUGCUCACCACUGGAGGCAUCCGAGGGCGACAUGCACCCCCCGACCCCCCUCGUCCACUCCCCUCCCCUCUAGUCGCCCCUCUCCUGCUUUGCUGUCUUCCCCGCUGCUGCCCGAGCGCCACCAUCGCCACCCACGCCGUUUGACGCGCCAACCGUAGUCCCCUCGCCCCUCUGUCGUGCCCAAAAGCUCCACCACUUCGUCCGCUACCUCUCCGUCAUGCCACGCGUCGCCGGACGCCUUGUGGAGCCACCUCCGCCGUCAUCUUCAACCUCGGCCGCCGUGGAUCUCCACCACCCGUCCGUCGCCUGCAGUGCCUUCUCCGAGCCGCCGUUGCCUCUGCUCGACUCGCUAUGAGCCCCGCCGUCGAACCCCCCUCUCCCCUAGCUCGAAUUCUUCCUCCAACACCAUCGCCGUCGCGGCCGAGAGCUCGGCUCCGCCGUUCAUGUCGCUGUCGUGGCCACUGUCACCUAGGCUCCCAACCGAGCUCACCGCCGUUCUCAGUGCCCUCCCGCGCGUCGUUUGAACCCAACCGUAGCCCCCCUAGUGCCCCGCAACACCUAAACCGCACGCACCCGACUCCGGCCGCCGCCGCGAGCUUUGCUUCGGCGAGCUCCGCCGUUCCCGUGGCCUCCCCAGAGCGUGGCUGGAUGCGCCCGUGCACGGGCUACCCGUCGGUGGCCUCCGUGUGCCAAACCGUGGCCUCCUGCUCGUUCCGGCGAACUUCCGCCGUGGCUCGGGGUCGUCGUCGGCGAAACUCCGGUGGCUGAUGUGGCGCGUGAUUAGCUGCUAACCCUGCCACUUAAUCCACCCCCUAAGCCACUGACUAUGGGCCCGAGGGCUUGGUCAAACCCUGGUCAGCUGGGUUUGACUCGGGUUUAGCCCCAGUGUCACUGACAUGUGGCCCCCACACGUCAGGUUUGACGUGGUCAGCCCUGCUGACGCCUCUGUGACGUCAUGCUGACGCAAUAAUGAUUUUUCUGGAUUUUAAAUAAUUCAGAGAAUUCCAGAAAAUGAUAUAUACUUCAAAAAUUCAUAGAAAUUCAACCAUAGCUCAAAUUGAAAUAAUUUAUAUAUGAAAAAUUAUCAGAAAAAUUCAAUCUAUCCACCUGUACUUGUUUCAUGCAUGUCUAACCAACUUAUACUUGUUGUAUAGGUGAAAACAUAUAAAUGGCAUUUAUAAAGAUUUAAUUUAGAGUUGCAUUUGAACCUUUGGUUCAAAUGGACCUCUUCCAAAUAGAAUGCUAAAUGCAUUAGCUCAAAGCACAUCACAUACUCAUGCCAUGAUCAUGCAUCAUAUUGUUGCAUAUGCUUGUGUUUGAUUAUCGACACCGUUCCUUCUCGAUAGGUCCUGCUCCGGAGACCGAUCCAGAGUACCUAUCUGAGGAGCAGUGCCUUCGUUGUUGAUCUACCAGGCAAGCAAACCCCCUUGUUCAUUCCGAUACAAUCCUACUCUCUCGCUCCUUCUCUCGUUUAUUGCAUUAGGAUAACAACGAUUCAACUGCUACUUUAUGCUGCGGUAGUUGAACCCAUUCCUCUGCAUGACCUGUCAUUGCCACAGUAAAUAGUUAAAACCCACUAGCAUGUGUAGGAGUUGACUGAGCCAUGUUGUGUUCUUGCCAUGCCAUGCCUGCUAUUGCUUAGAGUUGUGCCAGGUCUGAUUCAUCGGGAAUGAAUUGGAGUGAUACGAUAUGUUUUGGUGCUGAGAGUUAAGCGUGUGAACAUGAUUUGGUAAAGGUAGCGGUGAGAGGCCAUGUAGGAGUACAUGGUGGGUUGUCUCACUAGAACCGUCCUUAAGCACUGAGUUCCGUGUAUGUUGUCCAAUGACUAGCUACUACCACACAUUGGAAUGCUUAAGUGCCCCUCUCGACUUAUUAGCCAACUUGAUCUCUGUCCAAGAGUCGCAAAUAGUUUCCGGUGUUUGUAGGUAGUGUUAGUAGUCUACCAAGUGGCACCCGGCCAGGUGGGCUUGGGACAGACUAGGCACAAGUGGCACGGUGUACCAAGCGUAGAUCCAUCCAGCGAGGUGGGCUUGGGAACCCUGCACAUAUCGUUUGGGGCCGUGAGCGACACCCCGGCCGGAUCUCCUUGUGGAUGGAACCCGAAUAGGCGAUAAACCUGGACUAGAGUCUUGUGUGGUUAGUCAGGUCAUGGCCGACACCCUUGCCAGGCUUCCGCUUGAAGGAUGCCGAGAUACAUGACGUGUACAUGGUGAUAAGUGGUGAGAGCGUGUGUGAAGAAGUACACCCUGCAGGGUUAUCAUGAUCUAUUCGAAUAGUCGUGUCCUCGGUUAUGGACUUCUUGGAUGCUUACGUGGUACAUAGACAACUUAAAGUGGAUACCCUAAAAUGCUCAAGACAAGUGUGAGUGCUAUGGAUGGCCUUCUCGUAAGGAGACGAGGAUGAAUCCAUAGUAGUGUAUUUGAUGUGGUGUUUAGUGGACUUGUGUGCGCUGCCUCACCUCAAAGAAGUUUCUCGUUGUCGUAGAACAGGAUAGCCACUGAGUCAAAGUUGGCUUGCUGCAACUAAACCCCACAUUACCUUCUUGAUGCAAAUGCAUGUAUGAUAGGAUCUGAUGUAAGUCUUGCUGAGUACCUUUGUACUCACGUUGCUUUAUUUCUGUUUUUGCAGCAGAGACUUCAGUCUUAUUAGUUUACUUGGACUUCGACGAGUAGCUUGCACCUCAGCUACGAUCUUGUACCCUUGGGAGGGACUUGUAGAUAGUCAGGCUUCUUAGCCUUUUUCUUUUGUAGUUGUCUGUACUCAGACAUGUAAUGCUUCCGUUGCUUGUAUGCUCUGAAUGAUGGGUCAUGUGACCCCUAUUUGUAUUUAAUGCUAUGUGGCUCUUCUGGGCCUUUAUAUAUAUGAGUUGCGUUAUGUUGUGAUGCCACGUUGUACAGCACAUACUUGCAUGUUAUGCGCACGUGUGACGUGUAUUGCUAUGUGUGGGAUCCGACAAUCUAGUUGUUUAUCCUUGGCAGCCUCUCAUAUGGGGAAAUGUAGUCUAGUGCUUCCUUGAGCCAUAGUAGUCCGCUACAGCCCGGUUCACCGGAGUCCUGCUAGCCCAGCACUACUGCUCAGGACACUUGACUGGCCGGCAUGUGUUUCACUUCGUUCCUAUGUCUGUCCCUUCGGGGAAAUGUCACGCGGUGACAUACGGAGUCCUGUUAGCCCAGUGCUACAGCCAGGAUUCACACGCUGCUGACCGACAUGCUCGAUGUGAAUCAUGUAUGCCUGUCCCCAUAGGUUAGUGCUGCUUUGGGUUCACGACUAGCCAUGUCGGCCCGGGUUCUCUGUCAUAUGGAUGCUAGCGACACAAUCAUAUACGUGAGCCAAAAGGCGCAAACGGUCCCGGGCCAGGGUAAGGCAACACCUAUGGGAAUACCGUGCGUGAGGCCGCAAAGUGAUAUGAGGUGUUACCGGCUAGAUCAAUGUGACUUGGGAUCGGGGUCCCGACAGCUUUGGUAUCAGAGCUUGACUGCCUGUAGGAUUUCCAAGCCAACCUGGUUGAAGUUGAGUCUAGAAACUCUUUAGUUAUUUAAGGGAAUUGAUUGUGGAAGGGAACGUAAGGCUCUUUUUACUCCUUUCACCUCUUGGCCUUCUGAUCUAAGUCAUCCUAUCUUUCCUACGGGGUUAAGGAACUAGGCUUCCUCUUCUGUCUAUCAGGAUCACCUGUUACUACUCCAUAGUCCCAUAGGAUUGGUUGAUCAGAGUCAUAUUCCAGUUUUUAAGUACUUCCGGUGUAGUCUGCUUAGUAAUAUCUCAGAACCCUGAGUGAUGAUGUUGAGUUUGGUGCUACCCCGUCCUUGCAGAAUGUUUCAUUUUGAGCAUUCUACUGUCGUUAUGCUGCCGGAAUUGUCCUAGGAGUUCAAGAGAUAGUAUUUUCUUUGUACUAUAUUCUACAUCCUUAUGAUGAUGCUGAAUCCAUCCUUGUUUCCUUGGUUUUGUUCUUCAGGAUGUUGUUGGUUAACCGAAAUUCUGUUGCUCGUAGCCGGAACCACGGAGAUGGUAGGGAUGAGGAUCCUGCCGAUCAGUCUUCGCUGGCAAAGUUCAUGUUAGAAGUUGAGAUGAACAAGCGUGAGACCAACCGCUUGUUAGCACGUAUCGAGGAGAACACCGCACCCCAGUGCAAGGAGUCAAUGACCAUUUAUGAUUUCAUUGGUCUGAAACCACCUACCUUCCAUCAUUCCAUUGUACCACUCGAUGCAUAUGACUGGCUUUGUAGUAUCACUCACAAGCUGCGUUCUGCGAACGUAGCUGAAAGUGACAAGGUCACCUAUGCUACAUAUCACCUGGAAGGUCCUGCUAGUCUUUGGUGGCAGAACUAUGAGGCUAUGCUUCCAGCUAGCCAGAUAACCACCUGGAGAGAUUUCACUGAGGCCUUUCACGAGCAUCACAUUCCUCAGGCUCUCAUUGACCGCAAGAGAGAAGAGUUCUGUAGUUUCACCCAGAGUAAGAUGGCUGUUGAUGCUUAUAGUAGGGAACUUGAGAACCUUGCCCGCUAUGCUAUAGAAGAGGUGUCCACAGAUGCCAAGAAGCAGGCUAGGUUCCGGAAGGGUCUCAACCCACUACAAGAAAUAUGUCAACUUAUGACCUUCUGUCAGUGACCCUCGAAGAAUUGGUCAUAAAUUUAUGACCAUUUUAGACCAAUUGGUCAAAAGCUGUUCAGGUGGCUCCAAACCCUAAACCAUUGCGACCAUUUUGGUCAGAAAGGUCGUAAUUUCCUUACACGAAAUGGUCACAAAGCAAACAGUGCUAGUCCGUUGCCUUAUUUCUAGUUGUUAGUGACCAAUAUAGAUGGUCAUAGCCUUGUAGAUUGUGGUGGGUUGUGAUGACUAGGCGCCAUCUCAUCAGUUUUGCCUAUGUGUCAUGUCCAUGUGGCAGUUUUUGCCCUAGGUUGUGAAGCAACCUAUAUUUCUAUCAUUCCCAAAAUUCCCAAAAAAAAUCUCAUAAAUUCUUUGGGGCAUAUCUUCAUCAAAUAUGUAAAAAUCCUUCCUUGCCUAGUUCAAAACUAAUUCAACAAUAUUCAUUCUCCUAUUAUGUUCACAACAACACUUUAUGAAGGAAGUUCUAUUUGUAUAUUCCUGAUUGCCCUCGGAAUAUUUGGGCACUCUUUCCUACCAAAUCAUUACCGCAUGACAAAAUUCAGCUCCAUUUGCCUAGAAAAUCUUCCUCGGCAAAUUUCCAAAGUUUUUGUCCACCUAGAAGCAUUGUGAAGGAAGUACCUUUUUUAUAUCACUAAAUGACAUGAAAUUUAUAUAGUUCCUUCAUAUGCCCAAAUUAUCACCCUCCUCCAAAUUGCAGCUCAGUCAAAUCAUCUAUGUGAGCCCAGGUUCAAUUUAUAUUUUAUGGCCAAAUUGGCACGUUGCAAAGCAAGUGUUAUAUAGACCCCUCCUAUUACCCUCAAACUUUUCGGGCACUCUUCCAUACCCAAAUCAUUGCCACAUGCUAAUAUUCAGCUCAAUUUUCCUAGUAAAUCUUUCUCAGGAAAUUUCCAAAGUUUCUACUUCGAGAGAAGCUUUGUGAAGUAAGUACUAGCUAGGCUUACCCAAAUGAUCUGAAAAUUUACCAGCGCAUGACCAUACCUAUGUAACUUACCUAUACCAAUUUUUAGCUCAUUUCAUUCAUCCAAUCUCUCUCACUAGUUUUCCCAAGUUUUUGUCCAUAAAAGAGCAUUGUGAAGAAAGUACUACUUUGGCAUGUCAAAAUGAUAUCAAUUUUCUAUAAUGCUUUCCUAUGCCCAAAUAACCAUCCUCCGCCAAAUUUCAGCUCAAUCCAUUCAUUAUUUUGAGCCCAACUUCAACAUUCAUAUUUUUGUCCAGUGUUGUACUUUGCAAAGCAAGUACCACCUAGGAUCCUCCUUUUGAGCUGAAAAUUUGUGAAUACAUUCUCCUUAGUAGAUGAUCAUCCUCGGCAAAAACUCACGCCCAUUGGCCAUGUGCAUUUCCCAUACCUCUAAUCAAACACUUGGCUGCUUAUUCAUGUUUGAGCAUUGAUCGGUCUCCUCGUGAGAAUUUUAUGUUGUGAUUUUCUUCCUAGCACCUACCUGGGGAGUGCCCAACCCACUAGACAUGCCUAGGCCGCCCAGAACACAUGGUAACGCCACGGCCACGCGGUGACCACGCGGCAGGCAUGGGAGUUUACGCGCUCUAGAGUUGGGGGCCUCGGCCACCGCCCAAACCUCGACGUAUCGCCACCAAACCAUGUAUUUAUGAUUAAAUAGGUACUUAUGUAACUAGAAAUGAUUUUUGGAAAAAAUAAAUAGCAAACUAUGAGGCAGCUGCAGUUCAAAUUUGACCCGCUUCCUACUGAAUCGGCGGGAAUUUGUCUUUUUCACCAGAGGUGGAUCAAAAAAUUUGACACCCAACCAUUUUGUCAAUUGUGCAUUAAAUAUGGCCUAGUAUUUUAUAAAAUUGAUCAGGUCCAAUUUUGCAACAAAUAUAUGGUAGGUCCUAAAAAAACUCAUUUCAGGCACUCGGAAAAUGGUUUUUUCGUCCAAAGAAAAUGAAAACUUCCUUAGGCAACAUUGUUUGCCAUUUCAAUAUGCACCCUUGUGCACAAUAUGAGAUCAUUUGAACAAAAUAUGCCAUGAAUGUGGCCAUAAGAUUGAUCAUUUGGCUUGAAAGCCGUGAAUCUUCACACUUGAUAGCUCAUUUCUAAGAAAACUUUUUAAAAAUAAUUACUGUAUUACAAUUUUAUUAUUUUUCCUGGAAACUUGUUCACAUAUAAUGACACAAAUGCGAAGGUUUUCCAAUUUUUUGAUUUUUUUGAAUUUUUUAUGCCCGUUUCAAAAUGUGGUCAAAACGGUGGGCUUGACCGUUCCUAGCUAGUGGUUGAAUAUUGGAAUUUUUUUUUGGUGUUUCUCUGAUUAAGUAGAUACUUAUGUACCGAGAAAUGAUUUUUGGAAAAAAUAAAUAGCAAACUAUGAGGCAGCUGCAGUUCAAAUUUGACCCGCUUCCAACUGAAUCGGCGGGAAUUUGUCUUUUUCACCAGAGGUGGAUCAAAACUUUUGACACCCAACCAUUUUGUCAAUUGUACAUUAAAUAUGUCCUAGUAUUUUGUAAAAAUGAUUUGGUACAAUUUUGCAACAAAUAUAUGGUAGGUCCUUCACAAAAAAACCUCAUUUCGGCCACUCGAAAAAUGGAAAAUGAAUUUUCCGUGCAAAGAAAAUGAAAACUCCCUUUGGCAACAUUGUUUGGAAUUCCAAGAUGCACCCUUGUGCACAAUAUGAGAUCAUUUGAACAAACUAUGCCAUGAAUGUGGCCAUAAGAUUGAUCGUUUGGGUUGAAAUACAUGAAUCUUCACAGAUGAUAGCUCAUUUCUGAGAACACUUUUUUAAAAUAAUUACCGUAUUACAAGUUUAUUAUUUUUCCUAGAAACUGGGUCACAUAUAAUGACACAUUGCAAAUGUUUUCCGAUUUUUUGAUUUUUUUGAAUUUUUUAAGCCCGUUUCAAAAUGCGGUCAAAACGGCGGGCUUGACCGUUCCUAGCUAGUGGUUGAAUCUUGGAAUUUUUUUGGUGUUUCUCAGAUUAAAUAGAUACUUAUGUACCUAUAAAUGAUUUUUUGAAAAAAUAAAGAGCAAACUAUGAGGCAGCUACAGUUCAAAUUUGACCCGUUUCCAGCUGAAUCGAAGGCAAUUUGUCUUUUUCACCAGAGGUGGAUCAAAACUUUUUUCACCCAACCAUUUGGUCAAUUGUGCAUUAUAUAUGUCCUAGUAUUUUAUAAAAUUGAUUUGGUCCAUUUUUGCAACAAUUAUUUGGUAGGUCAUUCACAAAAAACCUCCUUUUGGGCACUCGAAAAAUGGAAAAUGAAUUUUCCGUGCAAAGAAAAUGAAAACUUCCUUAGGCAACACUGUUUGGAAUUCCAAGAUGCACCCUUGUGCACAAUAUGAGAUCAUUUGAGCAAACUAUGCCAUGAAUGUGGCCAUAAGAUUGAUCAUUUGGCUUGAAAGCCAUGAAUCUUCACGCAUGAUAGCUCAAUUCUGAGAACACUUUUUUAAAAUAAUUACCGUAUUACAAGUUUAUUAUUUUUCCUAGAAACUUGGUCACAUAUAAUGACACAUUGCAAAUGUUUUCCAAUUUUUUGAUUUUUUUUUUGAAUUUUUUAUGCCCGUUUCAAAAUGCGGUCAAAACGGUGGGAAUGACCGUUCCUAGCUAGUGGUUGAAUCUUGGAAUUUUUUUGGUGUUUCUCUGAUUAAAUAGAUACUUAUGUACCUAUAAAUGAGUUUUGGAAAAAAUAUAGAGCAAACUAUGAGGCAGCUGUAGUUCAAAUUUGACCCGCUUCCAACUGAAUCGGUGGAAAUUUGCCUUUUUCACGAGAUGUGGAUCGAAACUUGUGACACCCGACCAUUUGGUCAAUUGUGCAUUAAAUAUGGCCUAGUAUUUUAGAAAUUUGAUUUGGUCCAAUUUUGCAACAAUAAUUUGGUAGGUCCUUCAAAAAAAUCAUUUUGGGCACUCGAAAAAUGAUUAAAAAUAGUUGGAAAGAUAAAAAUGCAUGCAAAUUGGCGAUCAUCCAAAAAAUGUGGUCUAACUUGAGAGAAAAAUUUAGUUGUGCCGUUCUGCAAAAUAUUUUUGAUAGCUGCUUCACAAAACACACAUAGUUUUAGUACUUAGAAACUAUUUUAAACCAUACAUUUUCUGAGCCAAUCAGGGCCUAUCCCACGGAUCGCCCCCCUUAGCCGAUCUGAACCGUCUGUUCUAGCCGAUCUGACCGUCCACUUCUCAGCAGCCUAAUCCAAACCCUAGCAGCCCGUGCCUGCCUCUCUCGGUCUCUCUCCCCCUGUCCGCCGCCUCUCUCUUUCCCCUUCUCCUCGAUCCAGAUCCAACCCAAGCACCCCGUCCUCCGCCGCCGCACCGUCACCUGCCAUGCGCCACCCACCUCCGCUUGCUCGCGCCCCUGCUCGCGCUGCUCCCCGACGGAGCCUCUUCUCCUCACUGUUCAUUUCCCGCAAUCUCAUCCAGUCCCCCCUCACCGCACAAUGGCCGUCGUGCCGGUGGUGUGCCCCUUCCCCACGCUCCCCUCGCCCUCCUCCUCCCUCAGCACGUCCAUGCGCCGUCUUCACGUCCGUGCGGGCUCGCCGCCAGCGGCGGCCGCCUCGCCACGCGAGCAGCAGAGCGCUAGGGGAGCGGUGGGCGUGGGGGAGAGGAGGCGGCGGCAGGAGGAGGAGAAGGUCGAGGCCGACCCGGAGGAUCUCGAGCAGCAGAGGAAGGAGGAGGUGAACCGCAAGAUCGCCUCCCGGAAGGUGCUCUCCAUCAUCCUCCGGCGCGGGGCCACCAAGGCCGUUCUCGACAAGCGCGAGAUCGGCAAGGGCACCCGUCGCCUCCUCCCCCGCACCGUCCUCGAGGCCCUCCACGACCGCGUCGUCGUGCUCCGCUGGGAGUCCGCCCUCAAGGUACCUCCCUCCGCCCCCUCCCUGCUUCCCGCCUCACAACUCAUUGACGCCCAGGCCUUUGUCUAACCAUGUCGUGCCCAUUGACGCCCAGGUGUUCGAGCUAAUGCGGGACCAGGUGUUCUGAAGUGUGCAUCCUCUGCGCCCCUCACCCAGAUCUGCUUGCUUUGUGUGCAUCCAAGUGUGGAAUUCCUCUGUUUUUUCACUGUAUAUCCUCAAUUUCUAUUACAAUGUAAAGUGCUUAGGAAUCCAAUGAUAGACGUGUAAAUGACUUGCAUAGUGUGUGCUUGCGGGUGCAAAGGAUGCCUUUUAAGGGUUUCCUGCCCCCAGGGACCCAGACAUGGUUGCCCUUCUCUUAUAAUCCUGAUGGGCUCAAUUGCUUCUGUAGUUCAUGAGUUUGAUUGCUGUACCACUGACCAAACCUGCAGAUGUUUGCUAUUAUUUCUGUUCAGACAGCCGACUAUGGUUGUUCAACAUUGUGCUUCCUUAUGCAUUUGUCCCAGUAGCACUAACCACACACACCAAACAUUGGAGUAAUAUUAUCUUC